RNAcentral lists this long non-coding RNA (69081 nucleotides) under Capsicum annuum. RNAcentral's name for it is "long non-coding RNA (CANN_LNC005229)". Lineage: Eukaryota; Viridiplantae; Streptophyta; Magnoliopsida; Solanales; Solanaceae. The record is from RNAcentral.
AAACAACAAAGCCACUCAAGCGUACAAACAUACCUUCAACAAAAUGACGACAAACCCACCUAGUCAAACCUGUGAACCAAAUCGUACCAGCAAUAAAAUUGAAAAAAAAACCUAAAAUUUCAACCAAAUUUUAACUCGGCAAAUCCAUACCCAGCCAACCCAUGAUUUCAGUAAGCAAAAUCCAAAAUUCCCAAUGUUUUAAAUUCAAAUUUGUACAAAAAUGGUACAAUUCAAGCUCAUCCCCUCAGCUAAAUUUCCAAAUAACACCCUUGAAUUUCUAUCCCACCAUUUCUCAAGAAUUUGGAAAAUUUUGUUUUCUAUAUAAACCCAUCUUUUUCACUGUUCUUUGGUGGGAUUUUUAGAACUAAAAAAGGAUCUAAACGUUCUCUUCACUCGACUAGGAUUUUGGACUUCAUGACCUCAGCCUUAGAGUUGUGAGAAUUGUAGCUUAAGUGCCAUUUUCAUUUUUGUUUUUGGGACAAGAGAAGUGGGGAAGUCGUCAUCAAUUUGUUGUCCCAUUCACUGCUUUAUAAAAGGUAAAUAUAUCUUUUCUCUUCAUUAUUUUUCUUCGCAUUAGCAGUGAUGCUGGGAGUAUGUGUUGUAGAAGGCUUUACAAAGGCCAUAGGUGUUUUAUUUGUUUUUUUGAGUUGAUAUUUUUAUUUUUGAUUUCACGAUCCUUUGUUCAUCUUUAUGGUGAUUUUAUUUAAUUAUUAAUCAAUAGUCCUAUCUAGUCUGAAAGAUUGUUUUGUUUUAGUUUGAUUCAUCAGUUUUCUUCUAAUCAGAAUAUCCAUGUGUGAAAGGCAGAAACAUUUCCCUUAUGUUUACUUUCAAACUUAUUCAAAGUGUAUAGUUAGAUGACCUCACCUUGAACCUAUUUUUUGGGAAGUUUGGAUAUGUCUUGAAAUGAGAGGGCGAUAAUAUUAUACAAGUUAUUUGUUAGAGACUUCUGAUAAGUUAAUGCUCAUGCUUUGCUGAUCGCGUGCUUCACUUAAAACUAUAUGGAUUAUGUGAUUAUGAAGGCAUGUCAAUUUAUUUGUAAAACACUUUUUCACAUAAUUUCUUCCCAAAUGCAAGUCAUUUAUUUUCUUCUUCUCGUGCUUGAAAAUACACUAUGCUUUUUUCAUUGUGCCUUAUCAGAUUGAUUUUUAAAGCAAUUUGGGUUAAGUUAGAUUCAGGUAUUCUAGUUGUCAACUUAGUUGUUGUUUUAAAUUUUAAAACUCCUUUCGUUUGAUACAAUGUUGAAAGUUUUAGUUGUUUCUUUUUUUUCAUUUCAAUAAUGUUUAAAUUUAUCAUUUCUUUUCAAAAGUUACUCAAAGUAGUUUCUUGUCACUGAUAAAUUUGUUUGGGUAAUAUGAAAUAUCCCAUAAUGGAUCUCUCCUGGUCUUGCUUGUGUUUCAACAGAGAUACCAUGAUUCCUGAAUUUGAAUUGGUCAAGGAUCACAGUUGCGCGGAAUAAUCCAAAUUUAAAAAGAGCGCUAAGUCCUAUUUUGGUAAGUUAUUCUCCUAGCUUAUUAGGUACUUGUAUUGAGUAGCAUUCUUUGCUGACUGAUAAUUACUUGAGUCAAUUAGUUGUGUUGUUUGGCCCAUUCUAUAAGCUCUACAUGUUCACUUAGAUAAAUUUGACGUCCCAAAAUGUUUAAUUCAAUUUUAUUUGAUAGCUAAUUCUUAUAUUCUUUUUUGAUACAUAUGAAUUCAUGUGAGUCCAUGUGGACCCCAUUUCCCAUAUUUUCUUAGGACAAGUCCCUUUCCUAUCAAGUCAAGCCUCCUCAAAGGCCAAAAAAUGAACAAAAGUCGUGAAUAAACGGACAGGUAUACACUGAUAUACAAAGAUAUACAAUAGUAUAGGCAACAAAAGGGCUAAUAUAUAGUUAGUGUACAAAUGAUAUAGACAAAUGGAAAUGGACUUAGAGUCCAUAUCUUUGCAAGGCCCAAAUCUCGGCAAAUUCAACAAUUGGAUAACAAGGGGCCCAAUCUCAUCUUUUCUCCAUUUAUUUUCUUGAAUUAAUUCAAUUAUUUGUUUGUAUAUUUAAUUUAAUUUAGAUGAAUCAUUGGGGAGCAAGUAAUAUUGAAAUUAUUCAUUUAUGAUAGUUAUUUAAUAUUUUUAAUUUUUGAUUCACUCCAUUAGGAAAACUUAAGAUCGAAGAAUUACUUGGGGAUAUUUUUUACAUCCCUUCUUAGUUAUUAAGUAGCUUAAAUCCAUAUUAAGAAAUUGAAUUAAUUAUUUAACUCAAAUUCUUAAUUCAGAUAAAAUUAUUAAAGUUAAAAUUAUAUUGGAACUUGGAGAUUUAGUUUAUUCCAUUACUUUGAAAUAAAAUGAAUGGACAAGUUUUAAUAAAUUUUAUUCACUUUCAAAUGACAUUAUGAAUAAAUUCAAGAAUUCAUAAAAUUAAUUUAAUAUUUUUCAAGUAACUUAAGAAACUUUCAAAAUUAGCCAAAGAAAUUUAAUCCAUCGGAAACCACAUUUUUUUAAUUUUUUAAAGUGCCUAACACCUUCUUUCGAAAUUACAUAAAUGCUUACCUAAACUCUAGUUAUUUUAUUAAAGGUUCUCUUUAAAAAUUUACCUUUGUUAAAUGGUUUUCUGAAUUUUUCUAAAAAUUAAGCGGCGACUCUAAAUUAUUUUUUUCCAAAAUAAAAUCUGUCGGACUUUCUUUUUCUUUUUUCCAAGAAGUUAUGGAACAUUUUUGAAUUUUCAAAAAUGGAUCAUAAUAGUGGCUUAUUUAUUUUAGUAGUGCAUGGUGUAAAUCUGUAUAGAUAUUUUCUCCCUAUGGGUAUAGCAUUGGGUUUGAGUCCCAUUUAUCGUGUCAUAUUAGCCUUUUUUUGGAUGUUCAUUUUGGUCCAACCUAUUCAUUAUAUUGAUGUUGAUAUCUCUUUUUCUACUAUUGUCAUUGCUUUUAUAUUGAUGUUAUUACUUGAGGGUAUUGAUCAUUGUUGGGUAGCUGUAUAGACUAGCGUUAUCUAGCUAGAAUUUCAUUUCUUUGCGAUUCUUAUUCAGUGGCUUGAGUAGCUAUAACUCGAUUUGAUGAUUUCUUUUCCUAUAGUGAAGUGAGGUUGAUAUUUUUCUCUCUUGGUUAGAUUUGUUUAAUUGAUUCACAAAUGUACUAUGAUAUGAAAGGUAAGUUGACCUUCUGUGGUUUUGUAUGGUUAUAGAGUUAGCAAUUUAGCCAUAUUUAUCAUUCUUGAGUUUGAGACACUUAGAUUUGUCUCCUAUGUGCGAAGGUUCUCGCUUUAGAUAUCCCUUACUAUAUAGCCCAGUUGUGAGCUUUACCAGUUUUAGGUCAGUUCUACAUUUAUGGCUAUUUCUUUACCCGAUAGCAGUUGGAUUUUGAUAUUGAUAUGUGCUGCAUUCAUCUUUUAGAUAUGCAUGAAAUAAUGUAAAUGAGUUAUUUUAAAACCAAAUUGAUGUGGUAUAAUCCACGAUUUUGAUUGUGGGCUCGAGGACCAAGCAUGUUUUGGGUCAAAAAUUAACCGUGGGUUCUCAGCCAUUUGUUAGGUUCAUCUCCUAAUGAUGGUUUACCCUUAUUUUUGGUGUGUAUUUAUAUGCUCCAUUCUUGUCAUGAUGUGAUUCAGUUCUAAAGUAGAGUUAGAGAGUUGAAGGCAGACUUUCCUGUGAUUGCUUAUUGAGUUGAUUGUUCAUUUUUGGGUUGGUGGCAUUGGUGCUUAGAUUUUCAGAUGAUGUACUCAGCAGGAGUAGUAUUCUUGAGUUUGGUUUAGUAUUUUUUUAUUCUCUGUUAAUGGGAAAUCUUGGAGCAGAUCGUUCAAUGAUGAGUAGUUAUGUCUUGAUCUUAUGGGUUCCAGUUUUGGUUGCCAUCAGGACUAGUUGUAGCAUUGACAUGGAUUUUAUACCUUGGUUAUCUCUAUUAGUGAGCCCAUAUAGCACGCUAUGAGCAUAUAUUAUUUUUCGUAUAGACUUUUAAUGGACCAAUUUUAGUUCUUCAAGUUCUCUGUGAUUAGAUUGCAUGGACAUGACUCAAGUGACUUUCCUUUUGGUUUGGAGUAAAUGGCAAGCAUGGAUUAGUAAGAGAAGUCAUGUUUAUAUUUGGAGUUGGUUGUAUGAUUCUUGCCUUGAUUUGGUUUUUUCUUGGAUAAGCCUUAGAUUGAUUUGUGUUGGUGUCGAGAUGGUAUUAGUGUGUUGUAGUUCAGAUUUGCAUGCAUCAUCCUUUUUCUAUUCAGUUGGAGUCCAGUUUGUGGUUGAAGUUAAUUUUUUACUAUUUAGAAGCAAAGUAAAAGAAAUGGUUGAAAAAGGAAUACCUGUGGCAAAAUCUCUUUGAAAUGUUCUCUCUUUGGGGAGAGUAUCUGAGAAAUCAUGCUCGGAGCAUGCGUGCCCAGUACCUCAUCCUUUGGAGAUUUUGAGAUCCUUCUAUGCAUUGACUUUUGGGGACGAAAGUUCUUUUAGUAUGGGAUAUUGUAAUGACUCUUCAGUUAAUUUUUCAUAUUUUUCUUAUUUUCAUCGUUAGAGCUUUCCUAAAGCUGCACUAAGUCAUUUAUGAAAUGUUGGGAUUGACAAUUUGGUUAUCGACCAUUUCUUUUGUUUUUUAGUGCUAAUUCCCAAUUUUGAAGUCUUUACUGGAUCCAAAUGUCCACCGAGAAAAACAUCAGUAAAACAAUCUUGUAUAGAAAUUCUGUCUGGCCUAGCAGCUUUGGAAUAUCGAUUUUAGGAUAGGUAUACCGUUGGUUCAGGUCUCGAGGAACCCAAGUCCAUUUCGAUCUAUUGGUCAAAAAGUUGGAAAUUUGUGUAUGAGACCCAUAUUUGAUCGAAAUAACCUCAGAUGGAAAAUCCAACUUUUCCAUUGCAUCUGAAAUAUCAAAAUUAGAAUGGUUACAUAGUUUAUUUACGUAUGACAAAUUCCAAAUAAAUCGCGAGGUACUGCCGAAAACAUGGAAAAUUUUUGAAGUUUUAGCUAUCAGUUGUACUGUCAUUAAGUAGUGCAAUUGCACAAGGUAGGAUGACGAUCGCCAUACCUACUCCUACAACCAAGUAUUGCGAUUGCACACAUGGGUAUGUGAUUGCCAUACCUGAUUACCUGGUAUGGGUAUUAAAUAAUCCCUUAGGCUGCGUUUUUGCCAUUUUGAACACAUUCUUGAGAGCCAAGAGCCCUAAAAGAAUAUGCUAACUUAAAAUUGAGUCUUAGGGGUGACUUGGGAGUUUGAUUAACAUUUAUUUUCAUGGAUAUGUGCAGAUUUAAGGUAAGAUUUCAUUCCUUUCUUGGUGAAAUUCUUGGUUCUUGACCCGAAACCUCAAUUAGCUUAAUGACUUAAUUUUAGCCCUAAAUUAGCUUGUUUUACACCCAUUUCUUAGGGGUUAUGAUUCCUUGAUCCUGUAUGAACAUUGGGUUGACCUCAAAAAUGCAAUUUCCAUAAGUAGGACCCACUUGGGGUUUCUAUUGUUAUUUUUUGACAUAAAAUAUAAUGGUGAUAUUUGGGUAUCAUUAUUCUCGUAUUGAUGAGUAGAUUAUGAUUUUAAUAGAGUUACCACAUUUUAAGAUCGUGAAGUAAAGUCGGACACUUGGUUAAUGAUUUAAGAAUUUGUGGUUUGUCUUUGAGGUAGGAUUUUGUCUACUCUUCUUCAUAAGAUGAUGCAUGUUAUAUAUUCCAUGUGAAUGUGAAUGUUAUGUUUUAUUAUGGGUAGGAUAACUUAGUCUUGAUUAUUGAAGUUUAGGGAUUAGAUGAGGCUUUAGGGAUUAAAUCCGCCUCACAAACCUUAAACCACCCAAUCGGAGACCUGCACUUUCUACCAUACAAGGCUUCAAACGGAGCCAUAGCCAUGCUAGAGUGGUAGCUAUUAUUAUAAACAAACUCUAAAAGUUUUAAGUACUGAUCCCAAUUACCACCAUACUCAAUCAUGCAAGCACAAAGAAUAUCCUCCAACGUCUGAAUAGUCAUGUCUGCUUUCCUAUAUAACUGCGGGUGAAAAGCAGUACUAAGACUCACCUCGGUCCCCAAACCUUUCAGAGACAACUACCAAAAGUGAGAUGAAAACUGUGUACCCCAAUCUAAGAUAAUAGAAAUAGGUACCCCAUGCAAUUUUACAAUCUCUUAGAGGUAUAACCUCGCAAACACAUUAGCCAAGAAUUUAGUCCUUAAUGGCAAAAAGUGAGCAUAAUUUGUCAUCCGAUUCAUGAUGACCAAAACCAAAUCAAACUAAUAUAGAGACCGAGGAAGACCGAUAAUGACAUCCAUGUUGAUCACUUGCCACUUCCACUCUGGAAAGACAAUUUGUUGAUACAAUCCUCCAGGCCUUAUGUGCUUAAUUUUUACUUGCUAGCACACCAUGUACUUGGCCAUAAAAUUUCCACAUCCUUCAUCAUAUUGUACCACUAAUACCUCUCCUUAAGGUCAUGAUACAUUUUUAUCGAACUAGGAUGAAUAACAUAAUACGACUCAUAUGCCUCGACCAAGAUACUCUCUCGCAAACCAUCUACAUCAGGAACACAUAACCUCCCUUAGUACUGCAAGGUACCAUCACCACAAAUCGCAAAUGCCAUCACCUUUUUCCCACCUAUAUCACCUUUGAUCCUCAUCAAGAUAGGAUCCAACACUUGUUUUUCCUUUAUCCCCACACCAAGAGAUGACUAUGCCACCUCUUGCACAAAUACACCACCAUCCUCAAAGUCUAAAAACUGAACCUUAAUGUUAGCCAAAUAGUGAAUAUCUUUCACCAACUCCUGCUUCCUUCUAUCCAUAUGAGAUAGAAUCCCCAUGGAUAACCUACUAAAAGCAUCAAUAACUACGUUAGCUUUACCUGGAUAGUAGUAAAGACUCAUGUUAUAGUCCUUGAGCAGCAUAAGUCAUCUCCUUUCCUGAGGUUUAGAUCUUUCUGAGUAAAUACAUAUUGUAGGAUCUUAUGACUAGAAAAUAUAUCCACAUACACUCCAUACUAAUAGAGACACCAGAUUUUCAAUACGAAUACCACAAGGAACAUCUCCAAGUCACGAGUCUGAUAAUUCUUCCCAUGCACCUUCAACUAUCUGGAGGCAUAAGUUAUUACCUUGCCAUGCAGCAUCAAAAUAGAACCAAGCCCCAGAUUGGACGCACCACAAUAGAUCACAAAUCCAUCUGUGCCUUUGGAAAAGGUCAAGACUAUAGCUGAAGUCAGCUUAUCCUUCAGCUUCUAAAAACUACCCUCACAUGAAUCACACCACAAGAACUUUACCUUCUUUUGUGUCAGCUUAGUCAACGAGGCAGCUAUAAAAGAGAAAAUUUCCACAAACCUCUUGUAAUAACCAGCUAAACCCAAGAAACAUAAAAUAUAGAUUGGAGUUAUGGGUCUAGGCUAUUUCUUCGCCACUGUAAAUUUCUGCGGAUCCACCAUGAUCCCUUUACUAGAAAUAACAUGACCUAGAACAGUGAUAGCGUUUAACUGGAAUUCACAUUUCAAAAAUUUUGCGUACAACUCUUGCUCUUUCAGGGUCUGUAACACAAUAUGGAGGUGAUUGGCAUGAUCGACCUCGCUCAUAGAGUACACCAGAAUAUCAUCUAUGAUACAAUGGCAAAUAAAUAUAGAAACUAAUGGAAGACCCUAUUUAUCAAAUCCAUGAAUGUCUUCAAGGUAUUGGUCAAUCAAAAAGACCUAACCAGGAACUCAAAAUGCCCAUAUCGAGUAUGGAAGGCAGUUUUAGGGGUAUUUAUCUCCUUAAUCUUUAAAUGAUGAUACUAGAUUAAAAGAUCAAUUUUGGAGGAUAACUUAGCACCCUGCAACAAAUCAAUCAAAUUAUCUAUCCUUUGAAGCAGGUCUUAUUCUUUACCAUCACCUGAUUCAACUGAUGGUAAUCAAUACACCUUUGAAGGGAACCAUCCUUAUUACACAUGAAUAACACUGGUGCACCCCAUAGGACAUACUAAGAUGGAUGAAACUCUGGUCUAAAAGAUCCUUGAGUAGCUCCUUAAUCUCCUUCAAAUCAUGUAAUACCUAUGCUUAUUCUUAGCUAGAAAUUAUCUUAAGGAAACUAGUAAUUGCUUUGAAAUACAGAUCUAUUUUUGUACCCAUGGUAUUCUUAAGAUUUAUACUUUUUAUCACGUGGGAAAUUAUGUUAGCUUUCUAACGAUACCAAUUUUGUCCAAAUCCGAUACUAGACGAGGAAGUUAUGGAUGUUUUACUCAGAACUAACGAAAACGCCUAGGUGCGACGUCCAAGUUGACGGACCACCAAACAAGUGAUGGACCACCACUUUAACCAUCACAACCAAGGCAGUCGGGCCACGUUCUGGAUAAGGAUUGACAGACGAUUUGAUGGACCGUCAUCCAGGUCAUCAACUCUUAUCCAGUGAACCCCAUUUUUGGUCCACGUAUGAUGGACCAUCAAGUUCCUGACGGACCAUCAGCUGGGUCUUCACACACCACAUUCAGUUUACUUCCAAGACAUUUUAACAGGGGUAUUUUGGUCACUUACCACUCGCCUAUAUAUAUACCCAGAUGAGUCUGAAUUCAGCCAUUUGCUUAUUAUUAUUUCACAAACAAAAACUAAGGUUUCUCUCUAAAUUUAAUCUCCAAGAACAAGACCCAAUCUUCUUCAUAAAAAUCAAAGGAUUUCAAAUCCUUCAAGUUUAGAAACAUCAAGAACUUUGAGUCAGGUAUACGUAGUGUUCAUCUAUGGAUCCUUUCCAUUCAUAGAGCUCAAGAACCAUGUUUUAAAUAUUAUUUUGUGAUUAUCUUGUUGUGAUAUGAGCAUGUACAUGUUGAUGAUUGUUUUUUAAGUUUCAAGAUGAUAUCUAAAGGUGUUUUCAUGAAGUAUAUGUGUUUGUUAGUUAAAACCCAUGAUCCUUAUGUGGCUUAAUAUGGUGAAAUUCAUGAACACGCUUAAGCUAAAAGAAUGCAUGUAAAGUGUUUGAUAAUAUGCCUAGGAUGAUAGAAUUCAUGUCCCAUGAUUUAAUAGUGCUUAAAUGACAAGUCCAUGCUCUAUGCUUUAUGAUUUUCCAUGAAUUCCAUUUGAGUGAUAUGCAUUGUUGUUGUGAUAUGGAUUGACCAUGAUAUUGAAGCUAUGAAAGUAUAUACAUGUUGUAUGAAUUUCCCUUCCAUGUAUAAGAUGUUGAUAAUUAUGCUUAGUGUGAAAUCCCCUACUCAUGAUAUGGUAAAUUGUGGACUCUACUCUUAUGAUCAAGUCAUGUGUGUCAGUUUACUUCCAUUAAGUUCGAGGGGUACUUGUACCCAAAAAAUAUAGCUGUAUGCAUAGAUCCAUGUCAUAUUAUCAUGAUAGUCUCAGUCAAGCCAUGAUCUAUAGAAAUCAAUCGUGCAUGUGACUCAGGAAACCUCAAAAAUCUCAUGAUCUCAGUUAAUUCUCAAAUAGUAGCACUAAUCUGUUAGUCAACGAAAGUCAGUUACUCAGUCCAUGUACCGUUAGUUAAAUCACGUUCAGUCUCUUCAGAUGGGAGUAGGAGUUAGCACCAAGUGAACCCAAGUAUGGGAACUCACCUGCCAAUUUAGGGUGUGAUUCUUUGUAAUCAUCCUUGUGUUCCAGAACUAUGUAGCUAGCGUAGGUUGAGACAUCUUAACUUAUCAAAUUAGGGUUGAUGAAAUGGCUUAAUUUGUAAGUUUAAGAGUUCCCACCAUUCUUAUUUUGAGUACUUUCUAGCUAAGGGUUACUCACAGUUGUCCUUACUAGUGGCGCGGUAUUGACACCCUUCCAGUCGGGGCAGAGAUUGGACCCCAACAUAGCUAUAUACGUUAUUGGGGCAUAUCGAUCAAAUAACUACCUCCUAUAGUUUCAGUCCCAGUCUCAGUAAAAGAACUCAGAUAGUUCUUCAGAUUUUAGUAUAUCAAAACGGUCAGAUACAAUUAAUUCAGUUACAGAAUGGAACACAGAUAGUUCCAUUAGAUUCAGGACUGUUAGACACCGUCAUCCAUGUUAUCAGAAUUUUAGUAUUUAUCAUGCUAGAUAUCAGUAGAUCAUGUAUUAGUGUCCAGAUCUAGAUAUCACGUAAUCACGAUCUCAGUUACUAUGUAUGCAUGUUUGUACUCUUAGGUUCAUAUCAGUCAGUCAGUUAGAAUCGUUUAUGCGUGUAAUCCCUUUUGCAUUUAUCCUACCUCACUCGUAUACUCAGUACUCCCAGUUGUACUGACGCAUCGGUGCUAUGGUUCUUUAUUUCACGUUACACCAUAGGUUCACAAAUACAAGCUCCAGAUUAGUAGUAGAAGUAACAUUCUAGUCGCAGAGUUGCAGUGAGUCCUCAUCCAUUCGAGGAUGAUAUUAUAUACUUCAAUUAUUGUUUUAGUUUAGUUUUACUAGACGGAGUUAGUUGGAGACAUGUUCCUUCAACUCCUUACUCAGAAAGUACUUAGAGGCUUUUAUAUUUAGCUUAAAUUUGAUUCAAAUUUCAGUUGUUUUGGGUAUUCGUUACCCCAUAUGGAUGUUAUGAUUUGUCAGAUAUUUUAUGUAGUUGAACCUUAUGGGCUAUUGUUCAUGUUUUUUAUAUUAUUAUGUCAUAUAUUGCAGUAUACAGGUACAGAUAUCAGUCAUGAGUUAGCUUAUAGUCCCUUAGGAUCAUGAGUACCGUGUAGCAAUCCAGUUAAAAAAACUAGGGUAUUACAAACUUGGUAUUAGAGCCUAAGGUUCAAUAGAGUCCUAGGAAGUCUGAAAGCCGCAUAUAGUAGAGUCUUGUGCAUGGGUAUGUUGCGCGCCACAUUUAUGUGUAAGAGGCUAUAAUGUUUUAGGAAUAGUUUCCCUUCUUUUGGUAUUCAUAUCGUGCUAGUGAGCAUAAUCUCAAGUUAAACUCUCAGUCUAAUCCGUUCUUCUCCUAUUUCAGAAUAUACCUCAAAUGAGAAGAAACGAGCCAGCUCCUUAGCCCGAAGAUCCUUUGGACGAACAUGUUUCUCAUACGGAGUUUAGGGCCUCAUUCACCAUACUUGCUCAAUCUAUGGCUGCCCAAAAUGAAUGGCCACCAGUUAUUCCGGCCAAUCUAGUGGCCAACUUAGCCGCAGCUAGGAUUCGGGACUUUAUCUGAAUGAACCCUCCAUCUUUCUUUGGGUAUAAAUUUGAUGAAGACCCUCAGGAAUUCAUUGACCAAUUCCAGAAGGUCAUAGACAUCAUGGGAGUUACUUCUUGCCAGAGUGCUGAGUUAGCUGUAUACAAGUUAAAGAAUAUUGCUCACACUUGGUACAAACAGCGGAAGUCUAAGAGGUUAGAGGAUACAGGUCCUAUAGAGUGGGAGGAAUUUGUCAUGACUUUUUUAGAUAGAUUCUUUCCCCAAGAGCUGAAGGAGGCAAAAGUUCUAGAGUUCAUCAACCUCAGGCAGGGAAAUAUUACAGUUAAGGAGUAUUCUAUCUGAUUUACUCAGCUGGCAAGAUAUGCCCCUAAUGUGGUUGCAGACUACAAGGCUAAGAUGAGCAAGUUUGUGUCAGGGGUGAAUGAUAGCAUGGUAAAUGAGUGUAGGUCUACGAUACUGAACAGUGAUAUGACUUUAGCCAGGCUCAUGACUGAUGCUCAAUAAAUAGUGGAGCAGAAGAUUAGGACUAGGGAGAGGCAGAACAAGAGAUCAAGGUCAGGCAGUUUCAGUUUUGCUAAACCAAAAUUAGAAGGAGGAAAUUGUUCACAGUUUUAUCCUAAGACAGUAAUUCUAGAUCUUUCCUCCGCCAUUGCCAUAGUGCCAAAAUUCAAAGAUGGUAGUAGAGGUCGAGCAACAGGCUCUAUGUCUUAGGGUAGUGCCAACAGUGCCCGAACUAAUCCCCUAUGUCAGACUUAUGGUAAGAACCACAAGGGUACCUGUAGAGCUGGUAGUGAUGUGUGUUUCGGUUGUGGUAACCCAGUUCACAGGAUUAGAGAAUGUCCGCAGUUAGGUCUACAGGGUCAGCAGAUUUGCUCCACAGCCCAAUUCGGUCAUCCAAAUUGGCAGAGUGCCGCCUCCAGUGCUACUAGUGGGCAACGCCUAAAUAGACUCUAUGCUCUUCAAACCCGAGAAGAUCAGGAAAAUUCUCUUGAUGUCGUUACUGGUAUGUUACAGAUUUUCCAUGUUCAUGUUUACACUUUGCUAGAUCCAGGUGCAUCCUUAUUUUUUGUUACUCCUUAUAUAGCAGGCGAUUUCGGAAUUAGUCCUAAAAUUUUGGCAGAUCCCUUUUAAGUCUCUACCCUAGUGGGUAAAACCAUCAUAGCUCGACGGGUAUACAGAAACUGCCCGGUUAUGAUAUUUUAGAAAACCAUAUCAGUAGUUUUAGUCGAGUUAGAGAUGACUGAUUUUGAAGUCAUUCUCAGCAUGGAUUGNNNNNNNNNNNNNNNNNNNNNNNNNNNNNNNNNNNNNNNNNNNNNNNNNNNNNNNNNNNNNNNNNNNNNNNNNNNNNACAGUUGACAGUAGAACUAGGGUAGUUCAGUUUCACUUCCUGAAUGAGCCUAUCAUAGAGUGAAAGGGUAACACUUCAUCUUUCAGGGGUUAGCUUGUUUCCUACCUUUAGGCAAGGAAAAUGAUUUCUAAGGGGUGUGUGUAUCAUCUCUUGCAUGUUAAAGAUUCCAAUUCUGAAUCCCCUAGUUUUGAAUCAGUCCCAUUUGUAAAUGAGUAUUCAGACGUGUUUCCCAAAGAUCUUCCAGGUAUUCCUUCUGAAAGGGAAAUAGACUUCGGCAUUGAUCUUCUUCGAGAUACUUAACCUAUUCUAUUCCUCCAUACAGAAUGGCACUAGCAGAACUCAAGGAACUGAAAGAUCAAUUGAUGGAUCUCUUAGGUAAGGGAUUCAUCAGGCCCAUUGUAUCCCUAUGGGGUGCACCAGUUUUAUUCGUGCAAAAAAAAGACGGCUCUCUCAGGAUGUGUAUUGACUACCAUCAUCUCAACAAAGUUAUAGUAAAGAACAAGUAUCCUCUUCCUAGAAUAGAUGAAUUGUUUGACCAGCUUCAGGUUGCCAGUUAUUUCUCCAAAAUAGACCUCAGAUCAGGCUACCAUCAGCUCAAAGUUAGAGAAUGUGACAUCCCGAAGACUGCCUUCCGUACUCGGUAUGGUCACUUUGAGUUUCUAGUUAUGUCCUUUGGUCUUACCAAUGCUCCAUCCGCUUUCAUGGACUUGAUAAAUGGUGUUUUCAAGCAGUACUUGGACAUGUUCGUCAUAGUUUUCAUAGAUGAUAUCCUAGUCUAUUCCCGCACAGAGCUUGAUCAUUCAGACCAUCUCAAGAUUGUUCUUCAGACUCUCAGAGAUCACCAGCUAUUCGUCAAAUUCAGUAAGUUCGAGUUUUGGAUAAUAUUAGUAGCAUUCGUUGGACAUAUUAUUUUUGGAAAUGGAAUUAGACUAGAUCUUCAGAAGACUGAUGCGAUAAGAACCUGGCCUCACCCCAUCUCUCCAUCAGAUAUUAGGAUUUUCUUGGGAUUGGCUGGCUAUUACAGGUGCUUUGUCGAGGUAUUUUCUUUUAUUGCAUCCCCCAUGUCCAGAUUGACUCAGAAGAAGGUCAAGUUUCAGUGGUCAGAUCCUUGUGAGAAGAGUUUUCAAGAGUUGAAGACUAAACUCACCUCAGCUACAGUUCUAGCUUUUCUAGAUGGUUCAGAUGGGUUCGUGGUAUGUUGUGAUGCGUCCAGAUUGGGUUUAGGUUAUGUCCUCAUGCAUCAUGGUAAGGUCAUAUCCUACUCCUCCAGACAGUUAAAUCCCCAUGAGAAGAAUUAUUCUACUCAUGAUCUUGAGUUAGCCACCGUAGUAUUUGCCUUAAAGAUUUGGAGGCAGUAUCUAUACGGAGUUCAUAUAGAUGUCAUCACGGAUCAUAAGAGUCUCCAGUAUGUCUUUUCUCUGUAAGAUCUUAAUCUUCAUCAGAGAAGGUGGUUAGAGCUUUUGAAAGAUUAUGACAUGAGUGUCCUUUACCAUCCGGGCAUGGCCAACGAUGUGGACGAUGCUCUCAGUAGACUCUCCAUGGGUAGUGUUUAUCACAUCGAGGACAAUAAGAAGAAGAUAACUUAGGAAAUCCAUCAGCUCUCCAGAAUAAGGGUUCUCUUAGUCGAUUCUUAGGAGGGUAGUGUAUAUAUUUAGAGUAGUUCAGAGUCAUCUCUAGUUUCUGAGGUGAAAGAAAAGCAAGACAGGGAUCCUAUCCUUGUCAAGCUCAAAGAGUUAGUUCAAAAUCAGAGAGUAGAGUUUUUCUCCCAAGGGGGAAAUGGGGUUCUUCAUUGUCAGGGUUGUUUGUGCGUUCUAGGUGUAGAUGACUUAAAGUAGUGGAUUCUUACAGAAGAUCAUGGUGCGCGAUACUCUAUUCAUCUAGGGGCCACUAAGAUGUACCGCGACCUGUGGGAAAUCUAUUGAUGGAGUGGGAUGAAGAGAGAUGUUGCAGAGUUUGUGGCUAAGUGCUCUAUAUGUUAGCAAGUUAAGAUAGAGCAUAAGAAGCCUAGUGGACCCAUGCAGGAGUUCACCAUUCCUACUUGGAAGUGGGAAUAAGUGAACAUGGACUUAGUGAUGGGUUUGCCUCGAACUUGUCAUCAGUACGAUUCAGUUUGGGUUAUUAUAGACAGGAUGACCAAGUCAGCUCAUUUCCUUCCAGUUCAUAUCUCUUAUUCAACCGAGGAUUACACCAAAGUUAAACUAACCAUUCACAUAUCUUAAUUUAAAAGGUAGAAAUACAAGGUUUUACUACUUAAUUCCACAUCCUAAAGUAACAGAUGUUAUAACAUACUGAAAAAUAAGACACAAAAAUUUACUAGAAUAGGGUCCUAACCUGAUAAAUAAGGUGUGGUGUAUAUAUCAAAAGGUAAGCAAACUACAAGUAUUUUUCUAAAACUAGCAUAAUAGUACACAAUUCUACAAAUAAACUCAAUCUAAUGGUUGGGUAAGCCAAGCUUACCCAAACGCCAAAGCUAAAGACCUUUCCAAAAAGCCUCCAAAUAGUGUUUCGGUAGAACCCGAGUUGGAUAAAUAUAGCAACCUUUUAAGUAAAGUUACAGGAAGUAGAAUAUUUAAAUAUAAAAAUGUUAAGUGAAUUUGAUAUUUAUAUAUGAAAAUAUAUAUUAACACUAAUGGCAGAAUAACUUGGCACUUAAUAUGUUAGCAUGAUUACAUCUCUUAGUGUGGUGUCAUUAUACAUAUAUUCCACAUGAAGGGGUGAGGCAAUACUAUCCCUGCCCUCCGUUAAAUUAGCACUCAUGUAUUGCAUAGGUUCGUGGUAAAAUAAUUACAAUAUUUUUAAUAUACCAUAAUUAAUAGAAUUACUUCUAAUAAAACCUCUAUUAUAUAAUAAUAUUUUAACAUUUGAAGAUUUAUUAUCUCCUCUUAAAAUGUUAAUAGACUAUAAAAGUAAUCAUAAAGUAAUAUAGAUAUAUCAUAACAAAAGAAUUUUUUACACAAGUUAAAAAUAUUUUAGAAGGGUAAUAAAUUAUACUUCUACCAAAUGCCAAUUUAAAUUAAGUAUUUGACAAUAUAUUUGGUAUUACUAAAAUAUCCAAAUGAACCACCUGAAACUGAAUUAUCAGUCCUACAAGUCAUAAAUAAAUUGGGAUAGUUGCAGAAAAGCUCUAGACCGUGAGGUCAAUACAACAUCCACUACUAAAAGGGCUUUCAUUCGUGAAAGUAAAGGAUAAGGAAAUACAUGAAGGCUCAAAUAGGUAGGGAUACUGGGUGUACAUAUCACACUCGGUAUCCCAAGUAUCCUCUUCCACUAGACGGUGAGGCCAAUAAACCUUAACCACUGAAAUAACCCUAGAGCAUAGUCAUCUGAUAUCUAUUGUCAAAAUAGACAUUGGCUUUUCGACAAAUGCCAACCUCUCGUCCUUCUGAAUCGAGUCUAACUUAAUUAUGUGUGAUUCAUCUAAAAUAUACUAUUGAAACAUAGAUACAUGGAACACCAAGUGAAGGGAUGAGUAUGUAGGAGGUAAUGCCAACACAUAUACUACCUCUCCCACUAUCUUCAUGAUCUCAAAGGGACUAAUAUAUCUCUGGUAAAGGUUGCACCUAUUCCCAAACCUUAUCACUCUCUUUAUGGGUGAUACUCAUAGGAAGAACCAAUCAAAAACUCUAAAUCUUUUUGGACGAUGUGUUCGGUCAUAAUUCUUUAUCCACUUUGAGCUGCUAAAACCUUGCCCUGAAUCAUACGAGCUCAAUCAAAUGAGUUAUGAAGCAAAUCAGUGGCAUGGGAUCUAGCCUCCAAAGUCUCCAACCACCCAAUAGGAGAUCAACAUCAUCUACCAUAUAAUGCCUCAAAUGAGGCCAUCUAAAUACUUAAAUGAAAGCUGUUAUUAUAUGCAAACUCUGCCAAAGGUAGAAACUGGUCCCACUAACCCCCAAAAUUCAACACAUAAGUGCAGAGCAUGUCCUCCAAUACCUGAAUAGUCCUUUUUAAUUUCUUACCAGUCUGAGGGUGAAAUACGGUGCUAAGGUUAACCUGGGUAACCAACUUCUCCUAAAAUAUCCUCUAGAAGCUAGAUAUGAACUGAGAGCCUCCGUAUGAAAUAAUGGACAUAUGUACCCUAUAUAGUCAUACCACCUUCCUAAAAUAAAUAUGAGCUAACCUAUCGGCAUUGUAGGAAACUUGAAUGGGGAUAAAAUAUUAACACUUGGUAAAUUUAUCAAAGAUGACCUAAAUGCUACUGAAACCACAAGAAGUGCAAGAAAAUCUUCUUUCAAAAUCCAUAGUAACUUGCUCCCACUUCUACUCAAGAAUGGGUACCUGCUGAAGCAAUCCACUAGGUCUUUGAUGCUUAGCCUUUACCUACUGACACAAAGGUAAUAAGCCACAAACCCAACUAUAUAUCUCUACAUACCACUCCAGCAGUAAUAUUGCCUCAAAUCUUAAUACAUCUUAAUGAUCCCUAGGUGACUAGAGUAUCUGGAGCUAUGAGCCUCACCAAGAAUCAACUGAAUCAAAUCUCCAACCCUUAGAACUCAAAUUCAACCAUCAAACCUCUGGAAAAACUCAGAAUCUAGGGUAGUCCUCCGAGACUCACCUCUCAACACCUAUUAUCAAAUGCUACAAAUUUUGUAGAACUGAACUGAGUUCUAUUCUGAAGACUGAAACAAAGACUGUGGGAGGUAUUCAUCUGAUCGACAUGUCCCUCUCUGAAUGAAUUGGGGUCUAACCUAUAACCCCAGUUGAAAGGGUGUCAUUACCGUACCACGAGUAAAGACAAAUUAAGUCACCCUCAUCUGGCAGGUGCUCUGAAUGUGAAUGGUUGUACCCUUAACUGGCAAGUAGGACACCUCAUCAACCCUCAACUGGUAGGUUGAUGUCUCAACCUAUGCUGGCUACAUAGUUCUGGGACACAAGGACAACUUUUAAGGAACACACCCUCUGCUGGUAGGUGAGUCCCUAUCAUUGGGUUUACUCGGUGCUAAAUCCUACUCCUAACUAAAUAAAAAUAGGACUUAAUUCUAAACUAUACUAGGUUGGACUGAACUAUUACUGAUCGUAUUAUUUAACUGAACUGAACAAAGUUCACUUAGUUUUGUUAUCUAAUGGAGUAGUACUAAAUUAUAUUAACUGAUGCAAUACUAUAGAGUUUUGUUGACUAGUCAAAUUUACUGAGGCCUGAACUAAAUACUAAACUGUAACUAUGAUUUAUUACAGAGGUUACUGUUCGUGACACUACUAAGACUAUUCUGUAACUACCACAGCUCAAGUUAAACAACUAUAUUUUCGGGUAUUAAAUAGCCCCAGGACUCGAUAAUAUGAAAAUUAAAUCAUAGUAGAAAUUUAAAAGGGCAAACCCAUAUGCACUUGAUCAUAACUCAUUCAUAGCGACAUUUUAUCAAAUACUUGCAUAAUAUAACUUCCACAUAAGCUAUAAUGACAUGAUUGUUUUUUCCUUUUUCUUUGUUUACAUGAGCAAUUUAUCAAACACUUGGAGGACCUAAUUUAUGUACACGACACUAACCACAUAUAGGUACCACAAUUUGAAUCCCCAUUUACAAUUUAAAGUGUUUAGCAUGGAUUCACAUGUUUCUAUACAUAUAUCAAUUAAUUCAAUGUGAAAACUUGUAACAACACAUUUAUUAGAAACCCAAUUAAUCAUUUUAAUCAUGAAUAAAAUAAAACUCAACAUGAAAUUCAUGGUGAGUUCUUGAGCCUUGAAUUGAAUUUAAAAUCUUCUAGGGUUUGUUCUUAUGAGAAACUUGUUAAGAAUGAAUAGUUUUUGCACUUAGAAGAGUUUAAUUUUAUAUUUUGGGGAUGAUAAACAUGAGAAAAAGACCCAAAUACCCCUAAAGAUGUGUAUUUUUAAUGACUAUAAACUGACCUAGCGACGCGCAGGCUGACGCACUGUGUCAUUGCCAUAGAUGCGAUAUCCAACAUUCUACAUCAAGUCUAUAUCGGUUCACUAGAAUUUGAUCUAGGAACUAUAGUAAAAUAUCCAUCAAUGUGAUGGAUGACACGCCGCAUCGAGAUUUUAUCGUUCAACUCAUUUGAGCUUUAAAAUAUGUUUCAAUCGAAGUCCCAAAAAUCUAAAACUUGUCCGGGAAUACCCACUGACAUUCCUGAUCAUGAUUCAACUUAAAAAUCAUUACUUUGAGGUCAUAAGGGUCAUAAAAUAGAGUCUCUAACCUACGAAGGCUAAAAUAACACUAAGUCUUAAUACUUAGCUAAAAUUUUCCAGGUUUUGGACCCUUUAACAAUCUUAUAAGGACUGAGUUAAGCAUAGAAUUUUGCGAGGUCUUAUAAUAUCUCCUCCUUAGAAACAAUCAUCCUUGAAUAAGGUUAACUAAGCUGGGGAUACUAAUAGACUAGAUUUAGAUACAGUACAUGCACAACUGUAUCAUGAUUUUAUGACUGACACUACUGAUAUGAUGAAAUUUAGUACUGAACAUGCAUAUCUGAUGCAUCAGUACAUGGCUGAACAUAAUUCAUCAAUGCAUGAUUGGAAUUACCAGUAAGUUAAGUUUCUCAUGCUGAACAUGCAUAUCUCAUGCAUGAAUACAUAACUGGAAAAUUCAGUGGUAACUGAUACUAAGUCUAAAAGGUAAAUCUGAGCAUAGAAUUUAGUAAGUUCAAGGAAAAAUUUUACCUUGGGCUAAGACUGAAUUUAUGGAGAAGAGGUGAGGAUACUUUGUUCAUAUAUCUGCUUCUACUUCCUAAGUAGCUCCUUCAACAGACUGGUUCCGCCAAAGAACAUUGAAUAGAGGGACCUCCUGUUCCUUAAGCUUUGAAUUUAAUAAUCAAGGGUUUCAGCUGGAAUUUCCUCAUAAGAGAGGUUGUUCUUAAUUUCUAUACUUCCUACAUGGAGUACAAUUGUUUGGCCACCUAUGCAUUUCUUUAGCAAGGAGACAUUGAAAACUUUAUGGACAAAAGCUAAAUCUGAAGAAAACUCAAGCUUAUAAGAUACCUUCCUGAAUAACUGAGAAUCUAGUAAGGACCAACAUAUUAGGGACUGAGCUUCCCAUUCUUUCCAAACCUCUUCACUCCUUUCAUAGGAAAGAUUUUCAAAUACACAUAAUCACCAAUCUCGAACUCGAGAUCCUUUCUUUGCACAUCUAUGUAUAAUUUCUGCCAUCUCUGAGUUGUCUUAAGUCUUUCCCUGAUCAAUUGAACCUUCUCUAAGGUGUCAAACAUCAACUUAGGCCCCAGCACUGUAACCUCUCUCACUUCAAACAUACUAAUAGGAGACAUGAAUCUCCUCCCAUAGAGUGCCUUAAAUGGAGCCAUCUGAAUACUGGAAUGAUAGCUGUUGUUAUAUGAGAACUCAAUCAAAGGCAAGUGCUCACCCCAUCUACCUUUAAAGUUUAUUUCACAUGCUGGCAGCAUAUCUUAGAAAGUCUAAAUUGUCCUUUCUGCUUGACCAUCUUUUUGAGGGUGAAAGGCUAUACUGAGGUGGACUUGGGUACCAAAACUUUUUUUGAAGACUUUUUAGAAAUUAAAGGUGAACUGUGUACCUCUAUUUGAGAUAAUUGACAAUGGAACUCCCUAAAAUCUGACCAACUCGCUGAAAUAGAGCUUGGCAUAGUCCUCGGCUGAAUAAGAGGUAUGGACUGGUAGGAAAUGGGCAGAUUUGGACAUCCUGUCUAUUAUGAAUUAAACUAAAUCGUUUUGACGACGAGUAAGAGGUAAAACUGAUGAUAUGUUGACCACUUGGUUACAAACUCUACAAUGUCUCCCUUUAUCCCACUCUACCAAUAUAUCUUCAGCAAAUCAUGGUAUAUCAUAGUGGCCCCUAGAUGAUUAGAGUAACACAUACCAUGCACUUCUGCAAGAAUCCACUGUCUUAGGUCAUCUACACCUGGCACACAGAGGCGACCCUGACAAUACAUAACACCAUCUCUCCCUUGGGAGAAAACCUCUACCUUCUGAUCUUUCGCUGAUUCUUUUAACUUAGCUAGACUAGGACCCCAUCCUUCUUUUCCUUCACUUUAGAAACCAGGGAUGAUUCUAAAUUGUUCUGCACCCAUACACUACCUUCUGCUGAUUUGACUAAGUGAACACCUAGUUAGGCAAGAUAAUGAACCUCCUUAGCUAAUUUAUUCUUACCGUACUCCACAUAAUCAAUACUACCCAUAUAUAUCCUACUAAGAGAAUCAGGCACUAUAUUGGCCUUGCCUGAAUGAUACCAAACAUUCAUGUUGUAAUAUUUCAACAACUCUAACCACCUUCUCUAAUGAAGGUUUAGGUUUUUUUGAGAGAACACAUACUAUAGGCUUAUAUAGCUAGUGAACACAUCAAUAAGCACUCCAUACAAAGAGUGCCUCAAAAUCUUUAAGGCAAAUACUAUUAUAGCCAACUCAAGAUCAUGAUUUGGAUAGUUCUUUUUUUAUGGGCUUAAGUAGUCUAGAGGAAUGGGCCAUGACCUUACCUCUUUGCAUCAAAACAUACCCCAAACCAACUCUGGAAAUAUUAUAAUACACAAUAAAUCUAUCUGAACCAUCUGGUAGAAUCAAAAUUGGCGAUAUAGUGAGUCGAGUCUUCAACUCCUGAAAACUCUUCUCACAAGAAUGUAACUACUAAAAAUUUACCUUCUUCUGAAUCAAUAUAGACAAGGGAUGCAAUAGACAAAAAUCCAUCAAUAAACCAUUGGUAAUAGCUAGCCAACCCAAGAAACUUUAGAUAUCUAGUGGAGAGAUAGGUCUGGACCAUUAUCUCACUAUUUUUGUCUUUUGGGGAUCAACUCUAAUGCCAUCACCAGAAAUGAUAUGGCCGAGGAAGGAUACUGACCUUAGCCAAAAUUUUUAUUUACUGAAUUAGGCAAAUAGCUGAUGCUUUUUGAGAGUCGGCAAUACUAUUUUGAGAUAGUCUAAAUGAUCUUACCCACUGAGGAGUAAACAAGGAUAUCAUCUAUGAAGACUAUUAUGAACAUGCCCAGGUAUAGCUUGAACACAUAGUUCAUCAAGUCUAUUUAAGCUGCUAGGGAAUUAAUAAGACCAAAUGAUAUGACUAAGAAUUCAAAAUGACUAUACUGACUUCUAAAAGCUAUUUUUUGAAUGUCACAUUCCUGACUCUGAGAGCCUGAUCUGAGGUCUAUCUUAGAAAAGUAACUAGCACCCUAAAGUUGGUCAAACAAGUCAUCGAUUCUAGGAAAUGGAUACUUUUUCUUGAUCGUGAAUUUAUUUAGUUGACGAUAGUCUAUACAUAUUCUGAGAGAAUCAUCUUUCUUACACACGAAUUAAACUAGUGCACCCCAUAUAGAAAUGUUAUGUCUGAUGAAUCUUUUAUCUUGGAGAUCUUUAAACUGUUGUUUUAAUUCUUUGAGUUCUGCUUGAGCCAUUCUAUAAGGAAGAAUAGAUAUGGGAUGGGUGUCUUGAAGAAAGUCUAUUCUGAAGUCAAUUUCCCUUUUGGGAGAAACUCCGAGAAGAUCUUCGGGAAACACGUCUGGGAAUUCAUAUUCUACUGAUACUGACUCAAGAGUAGGGGUUUCUAAACUAGUUUCUUGGACUUAAAUGAGAUGGUAGACACAUCCUUUAGAUAUAAAUUUUCUUGCCCUUAGGUAGGAAACAAGAUGACCCUUAGUGUUAAAGUAAUACCCCUCCACUCUAGGAUGAGAUUAUUUGGAAAUUAAACUGGAGAAUUUUAUUUUCUGAAGUCAAUUGAGGCAUAGCAGGAAUAAAGCCAAUCCAUGCUGAGAAUGACAUCAAAAUUGGUCAUCUCUAAUUUAACUAAGUAUGGUGAAGUGACUUUUUGAGACACCAUAACUGGAGAGUUCCUGUAUACCCAUUGGGCUAUAAUAGAUUUACCCACUGAGGUAUAGACUGAGAAAGGCUCUACUAUAAUUUUAGUACUGACUCCGAAGUCAACAGCUAUAUAAGGAGUUACAAAAUACAAAGAAGCUCUUGGAUCUACCAAAGCAUAAACAUACAAAUGAUAAAAUUUUAACGUACCUUUGUCCAUAUCAGGAGAACUUUCCUAAUCCUAUCAGGACUGAAGGGCAUAGAAUCUAUUUAGCCAUUGCCUACUGGUAGCACUGGAAGUAGCACCCUGCUGAUUCGGAUGGUCGAACUGAGCUGAGGGGUAUUAUACUGACCCUAGGAACCCGACUGAGGACAAUCCCUUACUCUGUGACAUGGUAUUCCACACUAAAAACACACAUCAUUGCCAGUCCUACAUAUACCCUUAUGGUUUCUGCCAUAUUUCUGGAAAAGAGGAUUGGUUCAGGCAUUAUUGACACUACCCUGAGGCUUAGGGCCUAGCGCCCUAUAUCUUUUUCUAUCUAUGAAUUUUGGCUCUAGAGCAAUGGAUAAGGAUAGAGCUGGAACUGAGGAUUUCAGGUAGAACUGAGAAUGAUUCCUACCCUCAGAAUUAGUCUGAAAGAAGUUGAAACUACCUAUUUUGGAACUCUUUAUCUCUCUCACUUUCUCUCUAUUCUUAGCCUCCUCUAUCUACUGAGAGUGGACCAUGAACCUUGAUAUGUAUAUCUCAUUAAUCAGCAUUGCGAUCCUACACUCCUUAACCUUACCAGUAGAUAUGCCCAACACAAACUUACUCAUCUUAGAUCUUCUAUCUUCUACCACAUGAUGAGCAUAUCUAGCUAAUUAUGUAAUCAUGAGAGAAUUCUCUUUUACUAUCAUUUUUCCUACUUCAGGUUACUAAAUUCUAGAACCUUCGCUUACCUCAACUCCAAUGGGGCGAACCUAUCUAGAAAAGCAGUGAAAAACUCCUCCCACUCUCUGCUUCCCCUAUUUUAACAAUGAGUGAUCCUCAUUCUAUAAUUGAUAUAUAUAUAUAACUAAACACUCUCACUAGAUUUCACCACCAUAAUAUAGGUAAACUUCUGCACCUAAUAAAGAAAUUCAUGUAGGUCCUUAUCUAACUUUAACCUAAUAAAAGAUGAAGGGUUGAUUUAAGUUAAGUUUUGAAUCCUGGUUGCAGUAGUAUUAGCCACUAGGUUGUCUAGAAUGCCAGCUGUGCAUUCAUUCUAGGCUGCCACAGAAUGAGCUAGGGUGUUGAAAGCUUCUCUGAAUUUAGUGUGGGAGACAUGUUCAUCCAGUGGAUCUGGCUGGAUGAGAUGAGGUACUGGCUGGUCUCCUCUUUCUCUUCCUUUAGUUCUCUUUUAAGUCAUAUUCUAUAAAUAGAGGAGAAACUUGGAUUAUACAAGGAUUUUAACUUUAUCUUAUGCUCUCCCACAUGAUAUGAUUACUGAAAGAAGGGAAACUAUUUAUAAAACAUGUAAUAGCCUCUUGUCCAUAAAUGUGGCAUGCUACACACACUUGCACAAGACGCUACUAGACGCGGCUUUCAAACUUCCUAGGAUUCUGCUGAAGCUUUGGCUCUGAUACCAAGUUUGUAAUGCCCCGAGUCUAUACCUUGGAUAUGAAAUCGUGCUUAUAAUCCCAAAGGAACAGAUGCAAACCCAUGACUGGUAGCUACUGCAUUAACUGAAUAAGAAUAAUGUAAUUUUGCAGAAAUUAGGCAAAAAUCUACCAAAAGGUUCAAAUCUGAAAUAAAUACUGAGUAUGGUACAUUAACACCAAAACUGAACAUCUGUCUACAAAUAUUCUAUGUCUGACAAGCCUCUAUUGUCUAACCAAGGUGUUGAUGGGAAAAGUCCCCAACUAACUCCAACUGCUGAAAUAAACUAAGUACUAAAACACUGGAAUAAUAAAUUUGUCCUCUAACAAUGAGGACUCACCACUAGUCUGCUGCUGAUGGAUCGAGAGACUAUGUAUACUAGGAAGCCCGUACAUCUGAACCUAUGAUAUAAGACAUCAUAAUGCAAAAGUAAGGUAUACAUUAGUACUUUAAAUAUAAUGGUAUACUAUGUAAGGUAGGCUAAGAGUCAUGGGUUUAUAUGCAUGAACAAUAUGAAGUCACUCAGUACUUAAUAACAUAAGUAUAACUGAAUGUGACCACAUACAUUGUAAACUAUAACUGAGGUCAUGGUAACACUGGAUACUGCACUAAGAAUCACUCAUUUACUGAUGUCUAAGCUUACUGAUACUAUAUUAUUAUUAACUGAGUGACCAUAUCUGAUUGUCCUAAUUUUGUUGAACUAUUCAGAGUUUCGUACUGAACUAAUUUACUAUGUUCGACAGUCCUAAUUUUUUUAGAACUAAAUUUAGUUCCAUUUUGAAAAAUGAAACUAAGACUGUAGGAGGUAAUAAUCUAACUGACAUGCCCCUCUUUGAAUGUAUUGGGGUCCAACCUGUAACCAUAGUUGGAAGGGUGUCAGAACCCUGCCAUAGGUAAAGACAAGCUGAGUCACCCACAUCUGGAAGGUGCUCUGAAUGAGAAUGGUGGUACCCUGAACUGGCAGGUAAGAUACCUUAUCAACCCUCAACUAGAAGGUUGAUGUCUCAACCUAUACUGGCUAUGUAGUUCUUGAACACAAGGACUGCUUCUAAGGAUCACACCCUCAGUUGGCAGGUGAGUCCCCAUCAUUGGGUUCACUCUGUGUUGAAUCCUACUCCUAACUGAAUAGAUAAUGGACUUAAUUCUAAACUGUACUAGGCUAGAUAGAACAGUUACUGAUCAUACUGUCUAACUAAAUUGAACUGAGUUCACUAGGUUCUGUUAUCUGAUAGAGUACUACAGAAAUCUAUUAUCUUAUGGAAUACUACAGAGUUCUAUUGACUUUCCAAAUUUACUGAGGUCUGAACUAAAUACUGAAGUAUAAUUGCGACUGAUUACUAAGCUUACUGUUCAUGACACUACUAAGACUGUUCUGUAACUACCAUAGCUCUAGGUAAAUAACUAAGUUUUUGGGUAUUAAAUAACCCCACAACUCGAUAGCAUGAAAAUUAAAUCAUAGCAUAAAUUUAAAAGGGAAAAACUAUAUGCACUUGAUCAUAACUUAUUAAUAGAGACAUUUUAUUGAACACUUACAUGAUAUAACUUGCAUAUAAGCUAUCAUGACAUGAAUAUUUUUCCCUUUUCUUUGUUUACAUGAGAAAUUAUUCAAACACUUGGAGGACAUAAUCCAUGCACAUAACAAUAACCACAUAUAGGUAUAAUAAUUUGAAUCCCCAUUUAUAAUUUCAAUGGUUUAGCAUGGAUUCACAUGAUUCUAUGCAUAUAUCAAAAAACUCCACAUCAAAACUUGUAAUAAUACAGGUAUUAGAAACCCAAUUAAUCAUUAUAUUCAUGAAUAUAAUCAAACCCAAUAUGAAAUUCAUGUAAAUAAUACAUUGAACUUUUAGAAAUAGAUCCUUGAACUCCAAGGGUGAAAGGGACCCUUGGAUGAACACUUGACAUACCUUAACAAUUAAAUUCUAAAAGAUUAAUGGUAAGUUCUUGAGACUUGAAUUGAAUUUAAAAUCUCCUAGGGUUUUUUCUUAUGAGCAUCUUGUGAAGAAUGAAUAGUUUUUGCUAUUAGAAGAGUUUAAUUUCAUGUUUUGGGGCUGAUAGACAUGGAAAAAAAAUCUAAGUACCCCUGAGGAUGCAGUUUUUAAUGUCUGUAAACUGACCUAGCGACGUGUAGGCUGACGUACCACGUCAUUUCCAUCGAUAAGAUGUCCAACACUCCACAUUGAGUCCACAUCGGUUCACUAGAACUUGUACUAGGAGAUGGAGUGAAAUAUUCAUCAAUGCGAUGGGCAAUGCGCCACGUCAAAAUCUCCUUGAUCUAUUGGUUUGAGCUUUCAAAUAUUGUUUGAAAAAAUGGAAACUUAUCUAGGAACACCCACUGACAUUCCAGAUCAUGAAUAAACAUAAAAAUCAUUACUUUAAGGUCAUGAGGGCCGUAAAAUAAAGUUCCCAACCUAUGGAAGCUAAAAUAACACUAAGUUUGAAUACUUAGAUAGCAUUUUCUAAGUUUGGGACCCCUUAACAAGCUUUAAAGGAUUGAGUUAUGUGUAGGAUUUUGUGGGGUCUUAUACUAACCAAGGACCUUUUGGUAAUUUCCCAUUUGUAAAAACCUAAAACCUCUCACUAUAAAUGGAAUUGUAGCCUCCUAAGUAUUUAUUUGCAAAGUUUGAACAUUCCAAAACACUCUAAAGGCUUCUUUGAGAAAGAUUGGAGGCUAGGGUUUUGAAGUGUUCAUCUAGUGCCAAGGAAGAGUAAAAAUUAUUGGUGUGUCAUAUUUUUAAGGCAUAUAUAUCUUCCCUUCAUUAAAUACCUCCAAAUACAAUGUAUUUCACAAUUGGAUUAGUAAGUGUUCAUGGUUGUUUUGAAUCAUAUGAAAAGAGUUUUGUUACCUAACAAUGUACAAUGAUAGUUCUUGCUUUAAUAUGUGUUGAUAUAUGUUAUUAAUGGUAGAUUGUAUAUAUGGAUGCUUUUUGUAUGUUAUUUAACAUCUGGGUCUUUAGGUACCCUAGUCUUGAUGAUUUGUACCAUGAGAAUGGCCUUAGUAGAGGUACACACCAAGGGUGUUCGUAAAAAUAUCUAAGAGAAAUGACUAAUUAUAUGUUGAUAAGUUGUUGAUCUAGUGAAAUGGCCCAAAUCAGUAUGAAUGAUUGUAGAAUAAUAUUUUGAUCGUAUUAUGAGCCAUGUAUUAUAUAAUUGAUAACCUUUUUGGGUAAUGACUAAUGAAAAGGUAAAGCCCUAGACAUGAAAAUGAACUUGAAUAGUGUAUGAAACCAUGUGUGGUAAAAAUGUGAUGUAAUAUUAUUAAUGAUAUGUGAAUUUUUUGAUUGGGUUUUAAGGACCAUAAAUUAAUUGUAUGAUAAAUUGAAUGAAGGAAUUAGCCUAUUUUGAUGGUUGAACAAUGGAGGAUUCCGUAAGUACCAUGUGGUUAUUGAAAUUGGCUAAAUAAGCCAAAGCCCUUAAAUGUGACAUAUAUUGUAUCAAUGUGAAUGCAUGAGCUAAUAGGUUAAGAUUUCAAUGAUGACCAAUGAUUCCAAUGAAAUAAUGAGUGAUUCGUGUUCGUAGUCCAAUAAUAUUACUAGUGAUUUGAGUUUCUAGUCCCAUGAAACAAUGAGUGAUUUGAUUUCUUCAUCAAUGACAUGGCUAGUGAUUCAAAUUCCUCGGAUAGUGAUAUGAAUAAAGAUUUUAGUUCCUAGUUCGAAGAGAUCUUUUGCGGUUAUAAUACCUCCUCUAAUGAAACGUCUAGUGAUUAGAGUUCCUAGACCAAUUAUAUGACUAACGAUUUGGUUCCUAGUUCAAUGAAAUAACAUAGCUAGUGAUUCGAGUUCCUAUAAAGUGAGACUACUAGUGAUUUUAGUUCCUAGUCUAGAGAGAUGGAAGUGAGGUUGGUUGAAUAGGCUAACUUUAUUGAAAGUUCUUCACUCCAUGUCUUAUGAAUGAAUAACUUGAGCACACAUGCUAAGUCAUUUUCCUUGUGUUAUAAUAUUAUCUUGAUGUGUAUAUCCAUGUGUAUGAGUAUAUUUCAAAGAAAAAUGUUGAGCCUUGGUCUCUUGAAUAGCGUGUAGAAUACCAAUGUGUAAGGCUAAGUAUAUCUAUAUAAAUGGUGAUAUAUAUAUUGACUUGUUGUUGAGAGAUUAUAAUAUAUUGACUUGUUGUUUAACGAUGAUGUUAUUUUAUCCACACACUUGAGUUACAUGCUAGCAUUCCAAUUGCUAAACGUCUCUUAUGCUACAUCCCCACAUGAUGUUAGGGCAGGAGUAUCUUUUUCAUACCUGUGCAAUGAUUAAAUGAUCAAGCAAUUCAUGUAUUGACUUGAAGGGGUGAUAUUCCUUACAUCUGGAAAACAAUAAUCUUUUGUCCUUAUUUUUACACUUCGUCUCUCAAGAGUUGAUUUUACUAUAGUCGGGGGCCUCUAUCGACAUUUAUACUUAUUACCUUCUGUUUUAUAUAGAGGUACUAUGAACAACUAUGAACUUGGGCAUAAUUAUUAUAAUGAAUCUAAUGUGGACUUAUGAUAUUAUUAUAUGAUCUUAACUUGUGAAUUGGAGUUCCUUCAACUCCUAGAUAUAAUGAAGUGUUUAGGUUGGGUUAUAGGGUGACCUAUGGUACAAUACAUGUAUGCUUGAGGUACCCCUAAGACAUGGCCUGAAUUUUGGGGUGUGCUAAGUUGGUAUCAUAGCCUAGGUUUAUGGUCAGUUGGAUAUUUAUAAUACCUUGUCAAGUAGAGCUUAUUUAAAGGGUGUGAAUGGCACCAUACUUAUAAAAGAGAAGAUAUGAGAUAUUUUAGGAAAUGUUUCCUUUUUUUAUGUUUCAAUCUCACGCUAAAAAGUUUAUGGUCUUGAAUUUCUAUGAUUCUAUUUACUAUGUUUCAGAUCCUACCUCAAAGGAGAUCUAAGAAUUAAAAGAGAUUCGAGACUUAGGUAAACACUUUUUCCCUAAAAGAGGGUCCUAUAGAUAAAGCUUGUCUAUCUUUUCAUGUUCAGACCUAGGCUAGAACUAUGGCAUAUGAACAUCCUUAUUGGGUUCCAUCCACUAAAAUUUCUCAUGAGAGUGGCAUUUCUCCUCAGUCUCCUCAAAGGGAUGCUAAUAAUACCGAGUUUCAUCGUUCUAUCAACUUUUUGACUCAAUUGGUAGCCUCUCAAGAAGAGCGUGGUGCUGUGACUAUAUUUUCUUUGGAUUCCCUGAGAAUUAUCCAAUUUAUGAUAUUGAGUCCUCCUAUUUUAUAUGAUAUGAUAUUGAGGAAGAUCCUCAAGGCUUUAUUGAUGAAAUGGAGAAGAUCUUCUGAAUCUUGUAUGCUUAAAAAAUUAAGGUUGUGCGGUUUGUAUCCUACCAAUUGAAGGAUAUUGCAUACCAAUGGUACAAAAUUUGGGAGUUAUCUGUAGGUGUUGAUGCUAGUCCCGCUUUAUGGGAAAAUAUGUCUAAGGCUUUCCUUGACUGCUUGUUUCCUCAAGAAUUAAGAAAGGCUAAGGUAGAAGAGAUCAUGAACCUAAAAAAGUGGAAUGUCUGUUAAAGAGUAUGCCUUGAAAUUCCAUCAAUAUAUCAAGGUAUGCUCCCGAGAUAGUUUUUUUACAUGAGGGCUAGAAUAUGUAAGUUUGUCUCGGGAUUAUCCAGUGAGUUAGUUCUUGAGAGCCAAUCAACAUAAUUUGUUGAAAACAUUGUUAUUUAUAGGUUGAUUGUGCAUAUGCAACAAGUAGAAUAUGAACAUAAUGGGAAAGCUAAUAUUAGUAAGAGGUAAGGAAGGUAGUUUAGGCCUUUCGAGAAUAGCGGUGGAGAUAGUGGCAAGUGGCCACAAAAGAAAUGGGAGAGUUUAGGUUUGUUCUCCUUGACGAGAAUUUGCUCUCCUUAACCAAAGUAUUUGAGUAGUCGUCGAUCUCAGUUCAGUGGCGGAUCCUGGCUAUUUGGUUUCCAAUUUAAGACUAGUCGUGCACAGUUAGCUCCACCCUAUCCUUCUUAUAGAUUCUGUGGUUAGAGCCAUCAUAGUGGGUAUGAGAAAGGGAGAGGCAAUUGUUUUUAUUAAGGUUAGGUCAGGCAUAUGAAGUGAAAGUACCCCUCUCAGAUGGCUGCUUCGACCAACAGGCCUACUAAUACUAUCCUCCUCCUGUACCAAAUAGUGCUAUAUCUUCUUUGACUUUUAUUUUUUGCAUCGAUGUUGUCCGGAAUAUUUAUAUGCACUUGCUAAUUGCCUGGAUUCUGAGGCUUCUCCCGAUGUUGUCACGGGUAUAUUGAGAAUUUUCUCUUGUGAUGUUUAUUAUUUGCUUGAUCCAGGGUAUACUCUUUCUUAUAUGACCCCAUGUGUGGUUGUGCAUCUUGAUUGUGGUCCAAGGAGUCUGUUGGUUCCUUUCCUAUCUUUACCUAAGUCGAAAAGCUAGUGAUUAUAAUAAGGGUAUAAGUGGAUGUGUGAUAUCUAUUGGUGGUAGGGACACUCUUAUUAAUUUGAUAGAGUUAGACAUAGUCAAUUUUUAUAUCAUUUUGGGAAUGGAAUGGUUGCGUUCUUUCUAUGCUUCCUUAGAUUGUCAGACAUGUAGGGUUAUGUGCCAAUUCCCUAAUAAGCCAAUCAUUGUAUGGGAAGGUGGUUCUUUAGUGUAUAAGCGAAGAUUUAUUUCAUAUCUUAAAGCCCAAAAGCUAAUUGCAAUGGGUUGCUUGUAUCAUUUGGACUGAGUUAAAGAUUUUAAUUUGAAAGAGCCUUCUCUAGAGUCCAUUCACAUGUUGAACGAGUUUCCUGAUAUGUUCCCUGAUUAUUUUUUCGGUGUUUCUCCCUGAUAGGGAAAUUGAUUUUGGGAUUGAUCUUGUUCUAGACACUCAUCCAAUCUCUAUUCCUCCUUACAUAAUAGUUCUAGUGGUGCUAAAAGAACUUAAGGACCAAUUGAAAAACCUCUUAAAAAUAGGUUUUAUCCAGCCUAGUUUGUCUCCAUGGGGUGCUCCCAUGUUGUUUGUGCUCUAGAAUGAUGGUUCCUUUUGUAUGUGCAUUAAUUAUCAUCAGUUAAACAAAGUGACCAUAAAGAAUAAGUAUUCUCUUCCUAGGAUCAAUGAUUUAUUUAAUCAUCACCAUGGUUUGCAGUAUUUUUCUAUGAUUGAGCUUAGAUCAGGUUAUCAUCAACUUAAAAUUACGGAUGUAGAUAUCCCUAAGACUAUCUUUAGAACCCGUUAUCGUCGCUAUGAGUAUUUUGUCAUGUCUUUUGAGUUGACCGAUGCCUUGAUGAAAUUAAUGGAUUUUAUGAAUACGGUCUUCCAUCUGCUCUUGGAUAUGUUUGUCAUUGUCCUCAUAGAUGAUAUCUUGGUUUAUUUUAAGAGUAAGGUGGAUCAUGUAGAUCACCUCUAUACUGUGUUAUAAACUUUUAGGGAUCAUCACAUGUAUGCAAAGUUCUCCAAGUGUGAGUCUUUGUUGAAAGCCGUAGCUUUUCUUAGGCAUGUCAUCUCAAGUGAAGGGAUUAUGAUAGAUCUCCAAAAGAUUGUUGUGAUUAAGAAGGACCUAGACCGAUGACUCCAAUCAUUUUAGCUACUUCUUUGGUCUAGCUGGUUAUUAUAGAAGGUUUGUGGAGAGUUUUUCAAUUAUAGUUUCCCAGUUAAAAAGAUUGACCCAAAAUAACAUCAAGUUUUUAUGGUCUGAUACAUAUGAGGGUAGUUUUAAGAAGUUGAAAGACAAAUUGAAUUUGGCUCAGGUUUUGACAUUGACUAGAGAUAGUGAUGGUUUUGUGGUUUAUUAUGAUACUUCUUGUGUCAGUCUUGGUAGUGUGUUGAUUCAAUAUGGUAGGGUGGUGGAAUAUACUUGUAGGCAAUUGAAUGUCCAUGAAAAGAACUACCCCACCCAUGGCUUAAAAUUUUUGGCCAUGGUCAUUGCUCUGAAAAUUUUGUGGCAUUAUCUCUAUGGUGUUUAUAUUGAUAUCUUUUCUGAAUAUAAGAGUCUCCAAUAUGUGUUUACCCAAAAGGAGUUGAAUCUCUUGCAAACAAGAUGGCUCAAGCUAUUUAAAGACUAUUAUAUGAGUCUUCAUUACCAUCCUAGUAAGGAGAAUGUAGUUGCCGAUGCCUUAAGUAGAUUGUCUAUGAGGAUUUUAGCCCAUGUUGUUGAGGAUAAGCUGGAGUUGGUUAUAGAUAUUCACCAUAUGGAAAAUCGUGGAGUUUGACUUAUGGAUUUCGAGGAUGGUGUUGUAUUUGUGCAUCUAAAAUUUAUUCAUCUGUUGUUGUUGAGAUAAGGGAAAAGAAACUGUUAGAUACCAACAUGAUGAAGGUCAAGGGUAAUGUGCAUCAACACAAAGUUACGGACAUUUUGAUUUAUGGUGAUGGUAUCUUGAGGUACCAAGGUAGGCUAUGUGUUCCCAACAUCAAUGGAUUGAGGGAAAGGGUCAUGGUUGAGGCUCAUGGAGCCCGUUAUGUUAUUCAUUCCGGUUCCACCAAGAUGUUUCAUGAUCUUAGAGAGUUCUAUUGGUAGAAUAAUAUGAAUCAUGAUAUUGCUAGCCAUGUGUCAAGGUGUAUGGUGUGCCAACAAGUAAAGGUUGAGCACUUGAGGCCCGGUGGCCUAUACUAAGAGAUUGCAUUACCCGAAUGGAAGAAGAGUCAUACCUUAGGCUCAUUGAUCCAGUUAUGUUAUUCAUCAAGAUUAAACCUAAAUGUAUCAUGACAUUAGUGAGUUCUAUUGGUGGAAUAAUAUGAAGCGUGAGGUUUCAAGCUAUGUGGCUAAUUGUAUGGUAUGUCAACAUGUGAAAGUUGUACACAUAAGCCUCGGUAGUUUAUACCAGGAGAAUGUAUUUCCCUAGUGAAAAUGGGAGGUGAUUAAUAUGGAUUUUUUUAUCGGUCUUACUAGCUCUCAAAAUCAAUGUGAUUCCAUUUGGGUCAUUAUUGAUAGAAUGACCUAGUCUACCCAUUUAUUGCCCAUGAGAACUAAUUACUUGACGGAAGGUUAUACUAAGUUGUAUCUUAUGGGAAUAGUAAAGUUGCACGGUGGUCUGGUAUCUAUUACUCGGACCCUGGUCCUCUAUUUUUAUUCCACUUUUGGAAGUUGUUUCUAAUAGGUUUGGGAACAAAGGUGUGUCUUAGUACCACUUUUCACCAACAAACGGAUGGUCAAGAAGAUAGAACUAUCCUAAUACUGUAAGAUAUGUUGUGGGCUUGUGUAAUUUAUUAUGGUGGUAGUUUGUAUAACCACUUGCCUUUGAUUGAGUUUUCCUAUAUUAAUAGUGACCACUUUAAUAUUGGCAUGGCACCAUAUGAAGCAUUGUAUGGUAGAAGAUUUCGAUCUCCUAUUGGGUGGUACGAAGUUGGCAAGGGUAUAUUGCAAGGGCCUAAUUUAGUUCAUCAAGUAUUUAGAAAGGUGAAGGUGAUUCAUCAUAGAUUGAAAACAGCUAAAAGAAGGAACAAGUCCUAACUGGAUGUGAGGUGUAGAGACUUGGUGUUUAGUGUCGGCGAUUAGGUAUUCUUACAAAUAUCUCCCAUGAAGGGAGUGAUACGAUUCAAUAAAAAAAGGAAGCUUAGUCCCUGCUAUGUUGGUCCUUACUUUAGUUUGAAAAGGUUUAGGAAUGUUGACUAUGCGUUGGAGUGGCCUCCUAGUAUGGACUCCAUUCACCCAAUUUUUCAUGUGCUUAUGUAACAAAAAUCUGUGGGUAAUCUUUCCUUGGUUGUCCCAUAGAAUGAUUUUAGUAUCUCAAAAUUUUUCACCUAUAAGGAGAUCCUGGUGUGGAUCUUGGAUCAGCAAGUUCAUUGGAAGAAAAAAGAAGUGGCUUUGGUAAAGGUUGUAUGGAGGAACCAAAAAGUCCAAGGAAGCUAAUUAGGAGGCGGAGGAAGACAUGCAGUCCAAAUAUCCCCAUUUCUUUUUCAUUUCGAAAACAUUGGAUUGAGUUAUGUGUUAACCUUCUUGAUUUGACUUUUUUCUUUAAUGGAUAAUGGGUUCGAGUCCCUAAACUUUAAAGGAGCCAUGUGGCCUUUAUAAAUGAUGGGAUUGGAUUCCCUAGUGAAUGAAAUAAAAUGGUUAAUUGAUGAUAAUCAUGAUACCUAUUCUGUUGUAUCCUUGUUGUGUGCUUGUUUCUUGCUUGUGUAAGGGUUAUUUUGAUGCAUGUGAAUGUGUUAACUUUUUUUAUGCUUGCCUUAUCCUUCAUUUACGGAUGAAUGAUCCUGAAGAGAGGGAGAAUAGAAACACCUAGACUUUGAGCCAUUGAAAAACAACAACUUUUGGUGUCUUUGAGUAGGGUAUGACUUGAAGCAUUGAGUCAUACCCUUGUCCACAAAUGUUACCCUUAUCACCCCUCUUUCAUAUCCUCGGUAGAAUAUUAGGGAAGCAUACUUUCUUCCAUACAACAAGGCAAUCUAUUGGUCAUAACCAUGCAUACGAGUCGUACGCUACUAAACUGUAUAGAGCAAAGUCUCCAAAUCGUAUGGACUAUUUUUAUUACAGAUGGACAUCACGAUGGGGGAAUGAGUUGUACCCUUGGUUUAGACUCAAUGGUGCCUACUCAUACCAACAAAGUGUGGUCAAAACAGAAGAGUCCUAGGGUACAAGGUAGGGUACCAUUCAUACCCUAGGGUAUAACUGCUCAAGAAAUUGUAAAGGAGAGUUGUAUCCCUGCACGAGUAUGCUCUUCAUCUUUUAAGUAAGGACCUACAGGUAAUUUCCCAUGCCUAAAAAGCUAAAACCUCUAACUAUAUAAGGCAUUGUAUCCUCCUAAGUAUUUAUUUACAAGACUUAAGGAUUAUAAAACACUCUAACGGCUUCUUAGAGAAAAAUUGGAGGAUAGGGUUUGGAAGUGUUCAUCUAGUUCCAAGGAAGAGUCAAGAUUGUAGGUGUGUUAUAUUUUUUAAGGAAUGUAUCUCUUCGCCUCUUUAAAUAUCGCUAAAACCCUUGUAUUUCACAUUUGGAUUAGGAAGUAUACAUGGUGAUUUCGAAUCAAAUGAAAAGGUUUUUUUUACCUAACAAUGAAUAAUGAUGAUUCUUGCUUAAAUGUGUGUUGAUUCAUGUUAUUAAUGGUAGAUUGUAUGUGUGGGUGCUUGGUAUUUGUUGUUUAACAUGAGGGUCUUGAUAAAACCUAGUCUUGAUGAUUUCUACAUGACAAUGGCCUUAUUAGCAGUAUGAACCCAAGGUAUUUGUAAAAAUGUCUAAGAGAAAUGACUAGUUGUAGGUUUACAAUGUGUUGAGCUAGGGCAAUGGCCCAAAUGAGUAUGAAUUAUUGUUAAAUGAUAUUGUAAAGGUAUUAUGAGCCAUGUUUUGUUUGAUUUAUAACCUUGUUUGGUGAUGGCAAAUGAAAGGGUGAAGCCCUAGAAAUGAAAAUGAACUUUAAUUAUGUAUGGAACCAAGUAUAGUGAAAAUUGAUGCAAUAUUGUUAAUUAUCUAUGAAUAGUUUGUGUGGGUCUUGUGGACCAUAAAUUGAACUUUAUGAUGAAUUUAAUGAAGGCAUUGGCCUAUUGAGAUGGUUGAGCAAUAUAGGCUCCCAUAAGUACCAUGUUUUCGCUAAAUAAGCCAAAGCCCUUAAAUGUGACAUACAUUGUAUAAAUGUGAAUGCAUGAGCUAAUGGGUCAAGUAUUUUAUGUCGGGAAACGAUGCCAUUGAAACAACGAGUGAUUCAAGUUCUUCGUCUAAUGAUUUGACUAGUGAUUUGAGUUCCUUGACCCAUGAAACAAUGAGUGAUUCUAUUUCUUCAUCAAUGACACUACUAGUGAUUUGAGUUCCUAGGCCGGUGAUAUCAGUACAAAUUAAAGUUCCUAGUUUGAAGAUAUAUAUUAAGGUUAGAAUACCUCUUCUAAUGACAAAGCUAGUGAUUCUAGUUCAUUGAAUGGUUGUAUGACUAGCAGCUCGAGUUCCUAGUUCAAUGAAAUUGCAUAACGUAUGAUUCGAGUUCCAAGACCAAUGAGAAUACUAGCGAUUAAAGUUCCUAGCCUAGGGAGGUGAGAGUGAGGUUAGUAAAAUGGGCUAACUUGGUUGAAAGUUCUUCACUCCAUGUAUUAUGAAAGAAUGAUUUGAGAAUACAUGCUAAGUCAUUUUCCUUAUGGCAUAAUAUGAUCAUGAUGUAUGUAUUCAUGUGUAUGAGAAUAUGUUUAAGAAUGAUGUUAAGCCUUUUUCUAUUGAUUAUAAUGUGGAAUACUUAUGUGUAUGGAAAUGUAUAUGAAUAUGAAUGAUGAUAUAUCUAUAUUGACUUGUUGUUGUUAAAUGUUUAUAUUAUUUUAUCCUUACCCUUGAGUUACAUACUAACGUUCUAACCCGUUAACUAUCUUUGGAGGUUACAUCCCCACACAAUGUAGGGGCCGAAACAUAUUCUUCUUUACUUAUGAAAUGAUUAGACGAUCAAGCGGUUCCUACAUUGACUUGAAAGGAUGAAAUUCCUUACAUCUGAAAGGCAUUCAUUUCUUAGUUAUUAUCCUUAUACUUAGUCUCUUUAAGCCUUGAUUUGGCUAUAGUCGGGGGCUUGUCCUUACAUAAAUACUUAUUGACUUUGGUUUGGUAUAGAGGUAUUGUGAACAACUGUGAACUUGGGUGUAUUUAUUAUAAUGAAUCUAAUGUUUAUUUAUGAUAUUAUUCAGUAAUUCUAACUUGUGAAUUGUAAUUCCUUAGAUUCCUAUGAUAUUAUAAAGAGUUUAGGUUGGGGUACGGUGUGACCUUUGGUAGACUAUAUGUGUUAUUAAGGUACGCAUAAUAUAUGGCCCAAAUUUUGGGGCGUGUCAGUUGACUUAGUUACUAAUUAGCUUAGUUGUUGUGUUUGAGAAGAACCUAUACCUUUGAACUAAUUGUAGCUUGCUAUAUAUCUAAGAGUGGAUUUAGAUACCUUAGCCUAGUCCAAGGUAGUACUUGACUUAGAAUGUAUUUUGAGGAUUUAGAAGUAGGCUCUUUGACACACCUUAGGCCAAGAUAUAUGAUUAGUUCUAUUAAACCCGUUAUACACUUGUUAAAUGCCUAGAGAAUGCUCUUUUUGAGGCAAUAUUGAGGAAACUUGGCACUUGAUUAUGAAAUUAGAAGUAAUGUUCAUGGACUAAUUCCUUAUUGCUAUCGAUGAUUGAAAUGAUAAACUAUCUCUUAUGUUAAUGAUAAGCCAUUGGGUAUACUAUAGAUAAGUCAUUGCUCGUUGUAUUUCUCUUGAUUAUGAACUUUCUAAGAAGCUAUGUUGGUAAUCAUGGUAGAAAAUAUGUCUCUUAAUGAUCAUAGAAAUUGUAUCAUAAAUUAUGUUAUUGAAAGUUAUGCUAUUAAUUAUGAGUGAAAUCAUGAUUGUUGAUUACAUGAUCACUUAUGCUAUUGAUUUUUCCACAAACUAUGAUGAUGUGUCUACCGGUUUGAGUUUGAAUAUUAUGAUAUAUAUACAUAUAUAUAUUGAUAUCAGACAAGGCCAUAGGUUGAUUAUGAUGAUAUUUGAUACCGGGCAAGGUCGGAGGAUGAUUAUGAUCAAAUGUUCAUACCCUAUAAGGCCAGAGGAUGAUUAUGAGUAUAUAUUGAUAUCUGACAAGAUCGAAAGAUGAUUAUGAUAAUAUAUUACUACACGUCAAGGAUGAAGAAUUAUUAUUAAUAUAUAUGGAUACCUUGAAGGCUGGAGGAUAAUUAUGAUUAUAUUUGAUACACGACAAGGAUGAAGGAUGUUUAUGAUGAUUCCUUGAUACCCCGCAUCAUGGAUGGAGGAUUAUUAUAUUCAUGUUCCUAUGUAUAUAUAUAUAUCAGUUUGAGUCUGACUAUACCCUAUGUUUGGCUAUCUUAUAUAUAUGUAUACAUAUAUAAAUAAUUUUAUGUAUUUGGGUAUAAAAUUUAAAUUUGCAAGGUCGGAUAUAGCCCUCGAGUGGUAAAUAAUUAGAAGAAAGGAUAAUGAAUAAUUAGUGAUAAUUUUUUAUUAGUGGUAAAUGUUGUUUAAGUGAUAAAACAAUGGCUUGUUGAUAAUCAAGGUUUAGUUGGUAAAUAAUGAUUAGAUAAUAAAUAUUUUUUUAUGAUAAAUGAUUGUUACCAAAUAAAUGUUGAUUAGUGGAUAUGUGGCAACUUGUUGUUGAGUGACAACUACAUGUUAUAUGAUGACAAGUAAUACAAUGGAUUAGUUAAUAAGAUUUGGUUUUCUAAGAACUGGUGUCUAGUGAGUAUUGAUAAUAAGGAUGUUAAAUGAUGGUAGUAUUAUGGAAUUUGGAUACAUAGUUAAAUGUUAGUAAAUAGUUGAUUGAUGAUAAAUUUAGGAAUGGUGGUUAAAUAAUCAGUUGGUUAAUGUUAGCGAUGAAUAGAUUCUUUAUUCUAUUUAUGAAUAUACUCUCCAGACGUAUGGGUUUUUGUGAUGAGGUUUUUACUUUCCGUGCCAAUUGAUGUACUAGAGUCAAUUUUGUAGUUCUGAUUGCUUGUGCAAUGCCUUGUGAAGCGUUAUUAUUCUUAUUUUCUUACUUAUAUUGCACAAAGAUACUGGUGUGUGUUCAUGCCUUAUGUUAUAUUUCUAUUCAGGAUAAAUUACUUAUAUUGUAUGACAAUAUUGGAAUUGAUUCAGGUUUAGUUCUAUACCUUGGGUUAGUCAUGUUAUCUUUCAUUUUAUAAUUGUUAUAUCAUGAUUUAUCUCAAUCAGUUGAUGAUGUGAAAUACCCCGAGACUCUAACAAAUAGUGCAAUGAUGACUCAAUAUCAUGAUAAGUAAAGUAUAGUUCUUUGACUAUUUUCUGAUCAAGGGUGAUAUGUAUUAAGGCUACAAAGAUGUCCUAGCGAUUAGGUGAAUUAAAACAUUCCUUACCGAUUAAAUUCUAGAGAAGGAUAUUACCAUAUUCAACUUCAAAUGAGAAUAUCUCUUGUGAUACUUCUAAUUAUUGAGCUCAUGACCUACCAAAAGAAAGAUAAUUGAAUUAGAUUUCCAACGAUACAAAUUUUACAAAAAUCCGAUAUCGGGGCAAAGAGUUAUGCCCAUUUUACUCCAGCUUAUCAGCCUGGAAAUUUCAUGACGACAUUUUGUGACGACUUGUCACAAAAUGUUGUCAUCAUAAGCACAAUGUCACAAAAUCCAACAUUUUGUGAAGACUUAUCAAAAGUUUGACGGCGUGUCACAAAAUGUCGUCAACCUUAAGCCAGAAAUCAUGCAAUCAACCCUUUUGUGACCACAUUUCGUGAUGACUUGUCACAAGUCUGACAACUUGUCAUGAAUGUUGUCAGCUAUUUCUUUUUCAGCAAUUAAAGGAUGUUUUUAUAAUGGUAUUUCGGCCUUUGAUCAUCUUUCGGAGGCCUUAUAUAUAUGAGUAUUCCAAUCUAAACCCUAAUUUAUUCAUUAUCUCUUCCAAUUCUCUUCAGAAAUAUACCUAGGGUUUUAUUUAAGGACAUUAAUCUUCAAAAAAUCAUCCAUAAAUCUUCAAGAAUCAAGUUCCUCAUAGUGUGGGCUUCGAGAAUUAUUUAUUAAAAGUGCGGAUAAAGUCUCAAGCACUAGAAUUUAUUCCAUUUCAAAAAUUAAGGUGCGUGGGGUUUGGAACAAGAGCAAUUCAUUCGUUCUUGUGCCUAAAGCUUUGAUUUCUAUUAUGGAUUUAUAUUAUUUUGCAAGUGCGUUUAUACCCAAAUUACAUCAUCAUGAGAUUAUGAGAAUAUAAAUUGUUCAAGCUUUGUUAUGCAUGAUUAUUUUACUAUUCCCAAGUUAUGACUUGAUAUUUGAUAUUAUGAAUUUUAUAUUUCUACCAUGAGUUGAUAUUUGAAGUGCGUUCAAGAUAUGUGUCAAGCUUUAUGCUUCCUUAUGACAAACAGGAUUAUUGAGUAUAUUUAUUCAUGAGAUUGAGUUGUUACAAUGAUUCUUGAUAUUUCCUUCAACUUAUUGAUGUUGUCAUGAUUUAAUGAAUUGAUACAUUUUGAUAUUGAGAAAGAUUGAUUUGAUUUGAGUCGAGUUAGGAAUCCACAAAUUGAUUAUGAUUUGCUAAAUGAGAAAGAGCCUUGAUUUGGUCUUCAUGAUAUACCCUUGCGAUGUUUGUACUAGAUUUCCUAACGCGUUCUGAGCUUGUGUCUGGGAGUAGUAUCUAGCACCAAGUGGAAAAUGUGGUAUUUCCCUGAAACUAUGUGCCACCGUAGGAUUGAUAGUGAUAAUUAUGGGCCAUAGGCCGAGUAUGAAAUUGUGAUCACCAAAUUUAUGCUUUACUCCCUGGCAAGAGUACGAUGCUCCCACCAAUGUGGGUUUCUCUCCUUAUGAGGGUAAAACGUUGGACUCCAUGUAGCUCAUAUGAUUUAUGUCUAUUAUAAGAACCUCCCAUGUCCAUAAGAGUUGUGUUUCUUAAAUUACCGAGUCGCUCUGAGUCUUUUAUUGAAGAGUUGAGUUAUUUAUGAUGAUUUAUGAGGUUUUUAUCAUAUGAUAUAUUUACAAUGAGAUCAUGAAAAGUAUGUUUCAAUCUAACUCAAGCCAAGUGAGCCAUCAUUGUACAUAUGCAUAUUUUUAUGAAAUUGAUGAUGAUAUUUGCAUUGUUGCAUGCAUCCCCACAUACUCAGUAUAUUCCAAAGUGUAGACCCACAUAUUUUCCUAUGGUCUAUAUUUUCUCGUAAUGUAGGUUUAGGUACUGAGUUGCAGCCGCGUUAGUUAUAUUCGAGUGCGUCAACUACGUUCCAUCAUUGGUGAGUCCUCAUCGUUCGAGGAUUGUGUCUAUAUUAUUGGUGAUAUCAUUCUGUUGUUAGCCUUUCAGUAAUGUUUGAUUCAGUUGGAGUUUGUCCCAAUGGCUCCUUGAUUUUGAUGUAUAGAGGCUUUGUCAGACUUGAGGGUUGGUAUGUACAGACAUUCAAUCUAUUUUGGUUGUACAUUCUAGUAUUCUCUAGUAUUUCUCUUGAACCCAAUGUGGUAUAUCUCUUUCUUGUGCAUGACUAUUGUUGAAUUGAAUUCAUUGAGGUAAUGUCUAGCUCCGAGGGUUAGCUAGGGGCUACGUGUAGCCCUAAGCAUCGUGUGGCAUCUCAGGAUGAAAUUUUAGGGCAUUACAAAGCUUUGUAUUAGAGCCUAAGGUUUAAGGAGUCCUAUUUAGUCUACAAGCCGUGAUACGUAGAGUCUUGAUCAUCGGUGAGUAGUGCACAUAUCUAUGAGCAAGAUACUAUAGAACAUUUUAGGAAAAUUCAUUUCUUUCUUUCUAAAGUUUAUCAUUCCUACAACUGUCUCUUUAUCUACUAUUAACUCGUGCUCUCUUAUAAAAGAGAAUGCCUCCUCGUCGAGCUUGUUGAAACAACGAGCAACCUUAACCCGUUAAUCCCUUGAAUGAGCUUGUCUCAUACAGAAUUUCGGGUAGCUUUUUAGGCGCUAGACUAGGUACUUACCGCCAAUGCUCAAGCUAACACCCAGGCUACUAUUUCACCAACGCAAGAGAAUAAUUCUGCUGCAGCUUGAGUUUAUGACCUUAUGCGGAUGAAUCCAUCUGAAUUCUAUGGGUAGAAGGUUGGUGAAGACCCAAAGAUGUACUUGGAUGAAUUGAGAAAGAUCACUUAGAUUAUGCAUGCGAUUGAGGAGGAUAGUGUUAAAUUGGUUGCCUAUCAAAUAAAAGAUGUUACAAAUGAUUGGGUAGAGAUGUGGAGGAUUAGUAGAGGAGAGGACGACUCUCCCAUGACUUGGCAGUUGUUCCAAGAUGCGUUCAUUGACAGAUUCUUUUCUCUUAAGAUAAGGGAAGAAAAUAUAGAGGAAUUCAAUUAAUUUGAGGCAAAGCUCCAUGACUGUUAAGGAAUAUUGUCUUAAAUUCAAUCAGUUAUCUAAAUAUGCUCCUAGUAUGACGGUUGACUCCAGGACCAUCUUGAGCUAGUUCAUGACUGGCGUGUCAUGUUACAUUAUGAAAGAGAGUAGAUAUGCUAUACUAAUAGGGAGAUGGAACUUUCUCGGUUGAUGAUACAUUCCCAAUAGAUUGAAGCUGAUAAGGUGAAAGAGAAGGAGAGAGUAAAAGGAAAUAAAACAGUUAGAUUAGAGUAGCAGGGAUUCAGUCAGUCCAGAUUCCAUGGAGGGAACCACCCUAUAUUUUAAGGAUGUUAUUUUAUGCCCGCACCUUCCUGAAUUAGUGCUCCCACACCUAGAAGCAGGCAGGAGCAAGGAAACAGGCCUAUCUAGUCCAGGUCUCAAGAAAGUGUAACUAACAGACCUCAACUUCCUUUAUGUGCCAGGUGUGGUACAAAUUAUUUUGGCGAGUGUUUUUUUGAUCAGAGGGGUUGUAUUAGUUGUGGCAAGUUGGGCCACCAACUUAGAGAUUUUUUGUUUGCUAGAGAGGGGAGUCGAGAUGCUCAUCCCCAGAGUCAGGCUACUAGAACCACCACUCCCGUAGUCUGCCCAGAUCCUCCUUAGGUAGCCUUAUCUAGUACUACUGGCGGUUCAUGCCAGAAUAACUUCUAUGCUAUACUUCCUCACCGAAAGUAGUAGGACUCUCCAAAUAUUGUCACUAGUAUGCUCCGUGUCUUUUACUUUGAUGUUUAUGUAUUGAUACACCUAGUUUUGAGUUUCUUUUAUUUGACACCUCUGGUUGCUGUAAAUUUUGAGAUGGACCCUAAACAGAUUCCUGAGCCUAUUUUGGUUUCUAUUUUGGUAGGAGAAUCUGUUAUUGCUAAGUGAGUGUAUAAGAAGUGUGUUGUCACUAUCCUUAAUCGAGUCAUAUGUGUUUAUUUGAUUGAUCUAGAUAUGGUUUAUUUUGUCGUCAUUCUGGGUAUGGAUUGGCUUGACUCAUGCUAUGUAUCUAUAGAUUGUCGCACCCAAGUGGUCAAGUUUCAAUUUCUUGAUGAGCCCAUUUUUGAGUGGUCCGGGAGUUUUGUAACUCCGAAGAGCAAUUUCAUAUACUACCUCAAAGCUAGGAAAUUGAUUUCCAAGGGUUGCCUCUAUCACCUAGUAUGAGUUAAAUACCUAAAGUCCAAGACUUUGACUAUUCAGUCAGUUACCAUUAUUAAUGAGUUUCCCAAUGUUUUUCUAAAAGCUCAUCCACGGGUCCCACCUGAUAGUGAAAUUGAAUUCAGGAUUGAUCUCAUUCCCAACACUCAGCCUAUUUCCAUUCCUCCAUACUGUAUGGCUCCCGUAGAACUUAAAGAGUUGAUGGAGCAACUGAAAGAUAUCUUAGACAAAGGCUUUAUCAGACCUAGUAUUUCCCCGUGUGGUGUACCUUUUCUAUUCAUACGUAAGAAAGAUGGUAUAUUGCGUAUGUACAUUGAUUACCGUCAACUCAAAAAGGUAACUAUCAAGAACAAGUACCCUCUUCCUCUAAUUGAUGCCUAGUUUGAUCAGUUACAAGGUGCGAGCUACUUCUCAAAAAUAGACCUUUGAUCCAGCUAUCAUCAGCUUAAAGUGAGAGAGGGUGAUAUUCUAAAGACAGCCUUCCAAACCUGUUAUGGUCACUUUGAGUUUCUUGUCAUGUCUUUUGGGUUAACCAACACUCCAGCAGCCUUCAUGGACCAUAUGAAUCGAGUGUUCAAGUCAUAUCUUGAUAUGUUUGUCAUUGUAUUCAUAGACGACAUUCUUGUAUAUUCCCGAAGUGAGGAUAAUCAUGCCGACCAUCUUAGAAUUGUCUUGCAAAAUAUUAGAGAUCAUCAAUUAUUUGCUAAAUUUAGCUAGUGUGAAUUUUGGCUAAGGUUAGCUGCUUUUCUGGGUCUCAUUUUUUCUGCCAAAGGCACUAGAGUCGAUCCCCAAAAGACAGAAGUUUUAAACAAUUGGCCUAGAUCUACCUCCCCAUAUGACAUUAGAAGUUUCUUGCGUCUAGCUUGUUACUACCGUUAUUUUGGUAAGGGCUUCUCUUCCAUUGCGUCAUCUAUAACCCGGUUGACACAUAAGAAAGUGAAGUUCCUUUGGUCGGAACCUUACAAUAAGAGUUUUCAGGAGUUAAAGACUAGACUCACUUCAGCCCCAGUGUUAGCUUUACCCAUUAGUACUGAUGGUUUUGUGGUGUGUUAUGACGCUUCUAAAGUUGGUUUGGGUUUUAUGUUGAUGCAGAUGGGUAAAGUUAUAGCUUAUGCCUCUAGACAGUUCAAGUCUCAAGAGAAGAAUUACCCAACCCAUGAUCUUGAAUUAGCAGUUGUAGUUUUUGCUUUGAGAUCUGGAGAUAUUAUUUGUAUAAUGUUCACGUUGAUGUGUUUACGGAUCACAAAUGACUGCAGCAUAUGUUUAUAUAAAGAGAGUUGAAUCUUAGACAAAGAAGAUGGUUAGAGUUGCUAAAAGGCUAUGAUAUGAGUUUGUUGUAUCACUUGUGCAAGGCCAAUGUUGUGGCAGAUUCUCUUAGAAGGUUGUCUAUGGGUAGUGUAUCUCAUGUAGAGAAUGAUAAGAAAGAAUAGGUUCAUGAUACAAAUCAUUUGGCUAGGUUAGGUGUUAGAUUACUUGAUUCUACCGAAGGGAUUAUGUUCAUUUAGAGUAGUUUCAAGUCCUCUUUGGCCUCAGAGGUAAAGGAGAAGCAAGACAGGGAUCCUAGUUUGGUCAGACUGAAGGAGACAGUUAAGGACCAAAAGGUAGAGGUUUUCUCCCAAGAGGGAGAUGGUAUGUUGACAUUGCAGGAUAGAUUAUGUGUUCCUGAUGUUGAUGAUCUAAGGAAGAGAAUUAUUGAUAAAGUGUAUGGCAUACGAUAUUGCAUUCAUCCUGGUGCUACCAAGAUGUACUGCGAUUUGCGGGAAAUCUAUGGGUGGAACGAUAUGAAGAAAGACAUAGCAGGAUUUAUGGCAAAGUGGUCUACUUGUCAACAGGUUAAGGUAGAGCACCAAAGGCCCUGUGGUGUAAUGAAAGAGUUUAGCAUUCCUACUUUUAAGUGGAAAGAAAUGACUAUGGAUUUCUUAAUUGGUUUGCCUCCUUCUCAUCAUCAUCAUGAUUUGAUUUGGGUUGUUAUAGACUGGUUGACUAAGUUAGUUCAUUUCUUACUAGUGUAUUCGUCUUAUACAGCUGAGGAUUAUGCUAGAUUGUAUAUUCAAGAAUUCGUUAGACUUCAUGGAGUUCUUUAGUCUAUUAUCUCCGAUAGGGGUACUUAGUUUACUUCCCAGUUUUGAAGAGCUUUUCAGAAGGGUCUUGGUACCCAUGUUCAUUUAAGUUUUGCUUUCAAUCCAAAAACAGAUGGUCAGCUUGAGCAGACUAUUCAAACAUUAGAAAAUAUGCUGAGGGUAUAUGCACUUGAUUUUAAAGGUAGUUGGGAUGAGCACUUACCAUUGAUCGAAUUUACCUAUAACAAUAGUUUCCAUGCUAGUAUUCAGAUGGCCCCAUUCGAAGCUUUGUAUGAGAGAAGAUAUAGAUCACCUAUAGGUUGGUUUGAAGUAGGAGAAGCAGAUGUGAUUGGGCCUGAUGCCGUAUUCGAGGCUAUAAAAAAGUUAAGUUGAUCUGAGAAAGAUUGAAGACCGCUCAAAGUCGUCAGAAGUCAUAUGCGGAUGUGAGGAGAAAAUAUCUUGAGAUUAAUGUAGAUGAUUUGGUGUACUUGAAGGUUUCACCCAUGAAAGGGGUGAAGAGUUUUGGAAAGAAGGGAAGGCUUAGUCCCAGUUAUGUUGGUUCAUAUGGGAUUCUGAGCCGUGUUGGGAAAGUAGCAUAUGAUGAGGAGUUACCCAUGGAGUUGUCUAGCGUUCAUCCGGUAUUUAAUGUUUCCAUACUUAAGAAGUGUAUUGGUGAUCCUUUCGUGGUUGAUCCUUCCGAAAGCUUAGAUAUUCAGGAUAGCCUUUCAUUUGUGGAGUUUCCAGUUCAGAUUUUGGAUUUUCAAAUCAGUAGGCUUUUCAAAUCAGUAGGCUAAGGAACAAAGAAGUUUCUUUUGUUAAAGUGCUUUGGCUAAAUCAAUCAUUUAAGGGUGCUACUUGGGAAGCAGAAGCUAAUAUGUGAGCCACGUACCCUCACCUCUUUUUUAUGAGUUUGGAGCAAGCAGAAGGUACCAUUCUUUCUUAAUUCUGCCCUAUUCUUAUAAAAUAUUCAGCUAUGUGUCUACUUCCAUCUCGAAUUAGUGCAUUUUGUAGGGUAUCCGAAGUUAUAGAGUGAAGCUAUUCCUUUGAGUGAGUCGUUACAGCUAUACGUCCUCAUUUUCUCUUGUUCUUGGUCUAUAUGGCAACAUUCGAGGAUGAAUGUUUCCAAGGGGGAGAUAUUGUAAUACCCUGAGACUCUAACCAAUAGUGCAACCAUGAAUCAAGCUCAUGAGAAGUAAAUUGUAGUGGUUUUUAUUUUUUUUUAUCAAGGGUGAUAUGUAUUAAGGCCUCAAAGAUAUCCUAGCGAUUAGGUGAAUCAAAACAUUCCUUAUCGAUUAAAUUCUUGGGAAGGAUAUUGCCAUAUUAAACUUCAAAUAAGAAUGUUUCUCUUGAUACUAUGAUUUAUUGAGGUCAUAACCUACCAAAAGAUAGAUAAUUGAAUUAGAUUUCCAACGAUACAAAUUUUGACAAAAUUUGAUAUCGGAGCAAAGGGUUAUGCCCAUUUUACUCCAGCAUAUCAGCCUAGAAAUUUCGUGAUGACAUUUAGUGACGAUUUGUCACAAGCUUGAUGGCUUGUCACAAAAUGUCGACCAUAAGCAGAAAAUCACAAAAUCGAACAUUUUAUGAUGACAUUUUGUGAUGACUUGUCACAAGUUUGACGGCUUAUCACAAAAUAUCAUCAACCUUAAGCAAAAAAUCAAAAAAUCCACCAUUUUGUGACGACAUUUCGUGAUGACUUGUCACAAGUCUGGCGACUUGUCGCGAAUGUCGUCAGCUAUUUUCUUAAGCAAUUAAAGAACGUUUUUGCAAGGGUAUUUUGAUCUUUUCUCAAAUUUUGGAGGCCCUAUAUAUAUGAGAAUUCCCAUCUAUACCCUAAUUUCUUCAUUAUCACUGCCAAUUAUCUUAAUAAAUAUAUCUAGGAUUUUUAUUUAAGGACAUUAAUCUUCCAAAAAUCAUACAUAAAUUUCAAUAUUUCUUCAAGAAUCAAGUUCCUCAUAGUGUGGGCUUCGAGAAUCAUUUAUUACAAGUGCGGAUAUAGUCUCAAGCACUAGAAUUCAUCUAAUUUCAAAGAUUAAGGUAUGCAGGGAUUUGAACAAGAGCAAUUCUUUCGUUCUUGUUCCCAAAGCUUUGAUUUCUAUCAUGGAUUUGUAUGAUUUUGCAAGUGGGUUUAUACCCAAAUUACUUCAUCAUGAGAUUAUGAGAAUAUAAAUUAUUCAAUCUUUGUUAUACAUGAUUAUUUUCCUAUUCCCAAGUUAUGACUUGAUAUUUAAUAUUUUGAAUUUCAUAUUUCUACCAUGAAUUGAUAUUUCAAGUGCUUUCAAGAUAUGUGUCAAGAUUUAAGAUUUCUUAUGACAAGCUGGAUUAUUGAGUAUAUUGAUUCAUGAGAUUGAGUUGUUACAAUAAGUCUUGAUAUUUCCUCAAAGUUAUUGAUUCUUUCAUGAUUUAAUGAAUUGAUAUAUUUUGAUAUUGAGAAAGAUUCAUUUGAUUUGAGAUGAGUUAGGAAUUCACAAAUUGAUUAUGAUGUGAUAAAUGAGAAAGAGAUUAAUUUGGUCUUCAUGAUAAACCCUUGUGAUGUUUGUAGUGGAUUUCUUAACGCAUUCUGAGGUUGUGUCUGGGAGUAGUAUUUAGCCCCGAGUGGGAAAUAUGUUAUUUCCCCAAAACUACGUGCCACCGUAGGAUUGAUAUUGAUAAUUAUGGGCCAGAGGCUGAGUAUGAGAUUGUCAUCACUAAAUUUAGGUUGUACUCCCUGGAAAGAGUAUGUUACUCCCGCCAAUGUAGGGUUCUCUCCUUAGGCGGGCAAAAUGUUGGACUCCUUGUAGCUCACAUGGAUUCUCAGUUGUAAGAACCUACCAUGUCCAUAAGAGUUGAGUUUCUUAAAUUACCGAGUCACUCCGAGUCUUGAGUUGAAGAGUUGAGUUAUUUAUGAUGAUUUAUGAGGUUUUUAUCAUAUGAUUUAUUUACUAUGAGAUCAUGAAAAGUAUGUUUCAAUCUAACUCAAGCCAAGUGAGCCAUCAUUGUACAUAUGCAUAUUUUUAAUAAAUUGAUUAUGAUAUUUGCAUUGCUGCAUGCAUCACCACAUACUCAGUACAUUCAAAAGUGUUGACCCAUAUAUUUUCGUAUGGGCUACACUUUCUCAUAACUUAGGUUCAGUUACUCAGCCGCAGCCGCGUUAGUGAUAUUCAAGUACCUAAACUAUGUUCCCUCAGUGGUGAGUCCUCAUGGUUCAAGAUCCAUGUCUAUAUUUUUGGUGAUAUUAUUUUGUUUUUAUGGCUUUAAGUACUAUUUGAGGUAGGGGGUUGGUCCCAAUGGCUUAUUGAUUUUGAUGUAUAGAGGCUUUGUCAGACUAGAGGGUUGGUAUGUAUACACAUUCAAUAUAUUUUGGUUUUAAAGUCUAGUAUUCUCCAGUAUUUCUCUUGAAACCGAUGUGAUAUAUCUCUUUGUUGUGCAUGACUAUUGUUGAAUUAAAUUACUUGAGGUAGUUUCUGGCUCUGAGGGUUAUCUUGGGGCUACAUGUAUCCCUAAGAACUGUACGGCAUCUCAAAAUAAAAUUUUGGGGCGUUACAUGAUGACUACUGAGUACCCCUUGUUUUGGUAGUCAAACUAUACUUUUGUACCAUUUUGGUGCAAAUCUGAGUUCUUUUUGUCGUUGAUCAUCGAGGUAAUUGGAAUGAUGUAAAGGACAAAUUCUUCAAGUGUGGCCAGGCAAGCCAUCACCUCAAGAAUUGUAUGGUUAAUAAACUUGCAAUGGGGGCGAAUUGUAUUCCUGUGUCUUGAUCUUCUUCUCCAACACUUUUUUCAUGUGGCAUAUACUUCUAUUAUUGAUCUUGGUUCUAGCGUUUUCUGGAAUAGGAUGAAUGCUUUACCAUCCUAACAGGAAUCUGUGGCAUCACCUGAUGUUGUUACUAGUAUGUUAUAGUUUUUCUCUCAUGAUGUAUAUUAUUUACUGAAUCUGGGGUCUGCUCUCUCCUAUGUGACUUCUUAUAUGGCUAUGUAAAUUUUGGAUCCCUUAUUUAUUUCUACCCCAAUAGGUGACUCGAUUAUUGCUAAGAGAAUCUAAAGGGCGUGUGGCAUCUUUUUGUGGAACAAAAACCUUUUUGGAUCUAGUAUAGUUGGAUAUAGUGGAUUUCAAUGUCAUUCUAGGUAUGGAUUAAUCCUUGGAUUGUCAUACCUAUACAGUUAUCUUUAGGUUUCCUGGUGAAUCAGUUAUAGAGAGGAAGGGUGCUUCUUAAGCUCCUAGCUAGAGAUUUACUUUUUAUCUUAAAGGUUGGAGUUUAAUCUCUAAAGGUUGACCUUAUCACAUAUUUUCAGUUAAAGAUUCUAACUCGGAAGGUCCUUCUUUCAAGUCAUCUCCAGUGGUAAUAUAUUUCGAGAGGUCUUCUCGGAUGAUCUUCCUGGUAUUCAUUCAGAUAGGGAAAUAAAGUUUGGUAUUGAUUUAAUUCUUGACACUCAUUCAAUUUCUAUUCCUUCGUAUUGAAUGGCUUCACUAGAGUUGGGGAAACACAAGGAGCAACUUAUGGAUCUUUUGGAUAAGGGGUUUAUUCAUCCUAGUGUAUCUCCUUGUGGUGGACCAGUUUGUUUUUGUGCAAGAAGGAUGGUUCCCUUCGGAUGUUCAUUGAAUAUAGGUAGUUGAACAAGGUGAUGGUCAAGAAUAAGUAUCCUCUUCCAAUGAUAGAUGAUCUAUUUUACUAGGUGCAAGGAACCAAGUUCUUUUCUAAAGUAGAUCUUCGAUAUGGGUACCAUUAGCUAAAGAUUAAGGAGGUGGAUAUCCCCUAGAUGACUUUUUGUUCUAAGUAUGGGCACCUUGAGUUCUCUUUGAUUUCAUUUGGGUUGAAUAAUGCUCCAGUAUCAGUUUUAGAUCUAAUGAACAAAGUUUUCAAUUAGUAUUUAGAUCACUUCAUCAUUGUGUUCAUUGAUGACAUUAUGGUUUAUUUGACGAGUAAUGUGGACCAUGUGUAACGCCCCAAAUCAGGUACCUGGAAUACUACACGGGGCUCAUGACCCCGAAAGACAACAAGCUAACCCAUGACUUAUAUUUGUACUUAUAUACUUCAUAAAAUACUUUAUAAGGUGGAAAUAUGAACUGAAAGUCCAUAUGGUUUAGUACUGAACAUGAUAUGAAUAAUAUAACAUCUUUGUGGGGUAAUAGAAUAUCCAAAACAAAACUGAACAUACUGAAGUCUAAAACAUGACAGUCUAGAAAGCCUCUAACUGACGGAACUGUCUGAUUUAGGGGUUGAGGGAACAUGUCCAUAACUAACUACAACUAAUAAACUGAUUAAUUAGAUAAUAGGGAAAUAAUCAUUCCUUGAAAGACGAGGACUCAUUCUAACUUUAUCUGUGGAUAUCUGGAAUCUACUGUCGCUCUGGAGCUCGUGUCUCUGAAUCUAUGGUAUAAGACACCAUAGCAUAAAUGGAUAAGUACUUUGAAUGUACUGGUAUACAUGUAAGGUAGGCUGAAUGCAUGGGGUUUAUAUGCAUGAACAAUAAUAAUAACAGACUUUUUGUCAUGAGUGUGAGAAUACAUGCAUGAGAUAUAACAACUGACACUAAUAUUAUGAUAACAUAAUUACUGAAUCUGAAUUUAAUUGAUAACUUAAGCGACUAUAUUUGACAAUCCUAAAUUUGAUUGAACGAUUUGAGUUUCGUACUAUAUUUGAGUUGACUGUAUCUGAGAGUCCUAAAUUCUGAAGAACUAUCUGAGUUCUUUUACUAGGACUGUAGGAAGUAGUUAUCUAACCGACAUGCUCCUGAUAUGCCCUUAUGGAAGAGUUGGAGUCCAAUCUGUAACACCAAUAAGAAGGGUGUCAAUAUAGCGCCACUAGCAAGGAUAAGCUAUAGGCGAACCUUGUCUGAUAGUGUCCCCUUUUUGAGAAUGGUGGGGCUCUUAUCUGACAGUGCUUACUAACCUCAUCAACCCUCACCCAUAGUGUUGAUGUCUCAACCUAUACUGGCUACGUAGUUCUGGAAUGCAAGGAUGACUACUCGAGAUAACACUCCUAUCUGAUAGUGUGUGUCCUCAUCAUUGGGUUCAUUCGGUGCUAGUUUCUACUCCCAUCCAGAUGGACACUAAACAUGAUUUAUUGAACUGAACAUGAGCUGAUUUAUUGAAUUCCGUUGACUAAAGAAAUACAACUGAUAUCUGACAACUGACUGAGUUCAUGAGAUCAUGGAGAUUUCCUGAGUCAUAAGAGUUUCUGAAGUCUAAGGAUUCGUAGCUUGAAUGAGAGUAUCGUGAAAACAUGAUAUGGCUCUAGGCACGCAGCUAAUGUUUUUGGUACAAGUACCCCCAUGACUAGAUGGAAGGAAACUGACCAAGUAUAACUUACUUGAAUAUAUAUAACUAACAUCAUAAUGCAUAAUACAUUUAUAGAAACAUUUCAUCAAAACAUAUAAUAGGAAUAACUUGUACAUACAUGUGGAUUUCAUGGUUUUAGUCUAGUUAGGAACUUUUCCUUCAUCUAGGCAUUUAAUCAAACAUAUUGUACGUAUGGUACAUGUAAACAUCAUUGUAUAAUAACUAAACAUCAUGGAUCCAUUCUAGUUUCAUCAUUCAAGGGUUUAGUCAUUAGUUUGCAUGAAUCUAUAUCUAUAAUAAUUUAACCCACAUAGAAUUUAUCAUACAACAUAGAGUAAAAUUCAAUUUCUCAUUAUCUACAUGAACAAGAGCAGCCCAAUCAUGAAAUUCAUAAGAAAAUCCAUAAACUUGAAUUUAAAAAAGGGAUUUUUGGGCUUCGUGGGAGAAAGGAGUGGAAGAAUGAACAGUAUGCAUAGCUUAGUUUGUGAUUUCAUGAAGAUUGAUGGUGAAACCUUCUUUAAUUCAAAUCCCCAAUAAAAACCCUAGCGUGUUAUUGAGAGAAGCUUAAGAGAAACUAGUAUAUUUUGGGUGAAAAGUGUCUGAAUCACUUGUUAAAGGGCUUAAAUAGGGGUGGGAAGUUGACCCUUUCAACCCUGGACGUGUCAUUUAAUUUCAGUAAAAAAAAAUUCGAAUUAGAUCCUUUGGCACAACACAGCGCUAUAGCACCGAGUCAUUAGAUUUUGACAAUUGGGAAAUUAAGGGAUGGCGCAACGUACGGCUAUCGCAUUGCCACUUCCUUUGUGACAUAAAUCUUUGGCGCGACGGGGGGGAAAUCGUACUGAUACACUGGAAAAUGGAAAAUUCUGAAUUUGGACACUAGCACGAAGUGCCCUAAUCACGAACACCUACUGCAAUUUUUCAAAUGUCAUUUUCUCUUGUGGCGUGGCACGCCACUAACUAAUAUGGCACUAUUUUACGAUGGAAACUUGAAAUAGCUGUAACUUCUGACUUGAUUAUCAUAUUUUGGUGAAUCUUAUAUCAAUGGAAAGCUUAUUGUAUUUCUCACAUGACAAAAAGUGAAAAUAUUUGAAAUUCCUCAAGGAAUAAUAAUAAUUAAAUUUAUAAGCUAAUACUAGACAUUCUUAAGAUGAGAUUAGCUAGGAAAAAGUAUGUGGUAUUACACAAAUCUAAUCAUCACCAUAUGGUGUUGAAAACCUUAAUGGAACAACAAUUGUCUACUAACUUCUCCAAGUGUGAGUUUUGGUUGAACGCUAUAAAUUUCUUGGGUAAUUUUAUUUCUAGUGAGGGGAUCAUUGUGGAUCUGCACAAAGUUGUUGUGGGUAAGAGAUGGCCUAGACAUAUGCCUCCAUCCAACAUUUGGAGCAUCUUGGGUUUAGCCGGGUACUAUAGGUGGUUUAUAAAAAUUAAGAGUGAUGUUGGUGGGAAAAAGUUUGUGGUGUUUUAGAUCAGUGGUGAUGGUUCUUAACGGUACCAAGGAAGGUUGUGUGUUCCUGAUGUUAAUAAGUUGCGAUAAAGGAUUUUGGUUGAGGUGUAUGAGUUACGCCAUGUUGUUCAUCCUACCUUGACUAAGAUGUAUCAUGAUCUCAAGGAUAUCUAUUAGAGGAACUGCAUAAAGAAAGAUGCGGCUGAUUUUGUAGCUAAGUACAUGGUGUGUCAACUAGUUAAGGUUGAGCACAUGAGGCCAAGACGGUUGUAUCAAAAAAUUGUUUUACCUGAGUGGAAUUGGGAAGUGAUAAACAUGGACUUUCUUACAGGCCUUCCUGGGUCUCGGAGUCAAUGUUAUUCAAUUUGGCUCAUCAUGGAUAGGAUGACUAAGUCUGCGCACUUUUUUCCAUUGUGGACUACCUUCUUGACGGAGGAUUAUGCAAAGUUGUACCUUGAAGAGAUAGUAAAGAUGCAUGUAGUGCCUAUUUCAAUUAUUUUUUAUCGUGGCACAUAAUUUAUGUCUCACUUUUUGUGGUCUUUUCAGAGAUAGUUGUGGACCAAAGUGAGUCUAAGUACUUUUUAAUCCACAGACGGAGGGACAAGUAAAAGGAUCUAUUAAAAUAUUGGAGGAUAUGGUUCGGGCCUUGGUGAUUGAUUAUGGGGGAAAUUGGGUUGAUUAUCUACCUUCGAUAGAGUUUUAUCACAACAACAGCUAUCAUUCUAAUAUUGGUAUAUCCCCUUUUGAGGCAUGGUAUUGUAGAAGGUGAAUAUCUCCUAUUGGUUGGUUUGAGCUUAUUAAGGCGGACAUGCUUGGCCCUGAUUUGAUUUACCAGGCUAUGGAGAAGGUGAAGGUGAUUCGGCAGAGGCAUAAGGCUGUCCAAAGUCACUAAAAGUCCUAUGUGGAUAUUAGGCAAAGAGACUUGGACUUUGAGUUAGGGAUAAGGUUUUUAUCAAGGUAUCUCCAAUGAAGGGAGUAAUGCAGUUUAGCAAGAAAGGGAAGCUCAAUCUCCAGUAUGUGAUUCCUUAUGAGAUUUUUUGUAAAGUUGGUAAUAUUGCUUAUGAGCUGGAGUUGCAUUCAAUUUUUAUAAUGGUUCAUCCGGUUUUUCAUGUUUCCAUGUUAAGGAAGUGCAUUGGUGAUCCUUCUUCAAUUGUUUCAUUGGAAGGAUUGGGAAUCACAGAUUCUUUAUCUUAUGAAGAAGUCCCGGUUGAGAUCUUGAAAAGAUAGGUUCAUUUGUUGUGAACCAAGGAUUUAGCUUCUGUUAAGGUUCUUUGGUGAAGCUAUAAGGUGGAAGAAGUUAUAUGGGAAGCAGAACAGGAAAAGAAGUCAAAAUAUUUGUAUUUGUUUUCUUCUCAUGGGAUUCGCGUGGAAGAUGUGUUUCUUCAACACAUCUUUACUUCCAGAGUUAUUUAAAGGAAAGAUUUAUAUUUUUGCCUCUUUUCAUUUGUACAUUGUUAAAGAUUAGGAAUAAAUUUGAUGAUGAAAAUGACUUUUGCGUCUAUUUACCCCUACCUUGUCCAUCAUUUAGGGAUCAAUGUUCCUAGUGGGGGAGACUAAAAUACCCUAGUUUCUGGACCUUAGAAAAUUUCCUUGAAUUUUGAUCUCUGAACUCAAUACAACUCAUAGGUACGACCUAUAUGCUGGGGUACAGGUAGUAUGGUCCAGUCUCAAACUUUCCAGUGUUGGUCUAUGGGAUGGAUUUUUGUUACUGUAAUUGGUAUGACUUAGGGGUACAAGUCAUAUUGGUUUUUAUGAAUCAUUUGGUUCCUUAACUUAAUCUAAAACUUGGUACUUAGGUUGGAUCUGAAUAUGAGAAGCUCUGAGCCUUAAGCCAUGGUAUGAGUCGUACCCACGACUCAGAUGGUAAUAGUUCUUAAUCCUCCUUAUAUUUUAUUCUACUAGGGAUACGAGUUAUGGAUAUCGAUCAUAUGCUGUGGUUACAACUUUGUUGUAUGAUUCAUAUACUACAUAGUAUUUGGUCCAAGGGUGGAGGUUCUGGAUACAAGUGGUGGAUGCCAAUUGUAUUAGAGGGUAUGACUCGUGUGGAUCAGUCGUAUACAUGUGAUAGGAUUUAGGUAAAACUUAAGUAGGGGUAUUCUGUACAUUUCCCCACUUAACUUAAAAGGGUCAUAUGAUUUCUAACCUACAUAGGAGGUAAUUUACUCUAUUAUUUUAUUCAUUAAUACUCAGAAAAUAUUUCUAAACACCACAUAAUUCUCUCAAGAGCUUUUGGGAAAGCGAAACUAGGGUUUCAAAUAAAGGAUCAAUUUGGGGAUUGUCUUGGGGAUUUCUUUUCAUCAUCAUCUUGGUUUAAGGCAUGUUCUCUUCCCUCAUUAUUAAUUUACACAGAGUCAUGGGUUAUAUGAAUGUUUAUAUGUUUUUACCAUUACAUGAUUUUAGUUUUCAAAUAUGAUUUGGGUGUUUUGAUGUUAAAUGGUUGAUUAUGGUUUCCUAUGAUUUAAUUAUGGUUUUAUAUGAUUAAUUGUGGUUUUGGAUAAUUGGAUUUCAUGGGAAUGGUAUAUUGGUUGUUGGAAUUGGUUUUGGUCAUAUUAUACCAUCAACGUGUUUGACAAAAUGUUUAUAAAGAUAUGUUCAUUGCAUUGACCUGUUUGAAUGGAAUUCUUGCAUGUUUUAAACUUGGUAAAAGAAUUAUGCAUGAUUUAAAUGUCUUGGAAUGGUAAAAGGCUAAUUGAUUAUGCUUUUGGGUAACAUGGAAGUCUCUCAAGUGGUUUAAUAUGUUAAAUGGAAGGGCAAUUAAAGUCCCCUUACACCUAUAAAUAGUUGGCUAUGGAUGAUACUUACAAUUAAGGGUUGGUAUGACGAUACCAAUAUCAAUGGCCUUAGUUGAUAAAUGGAUAAUUGUUUGGUUAUUUAAUAAUUGGUUUUAAUUUAGAAAUAAUGUAGAAGGUGUAGCUAAGCCCUGGAAGUUAGAGGUCCCCGUGGGAUAAAAACUGGAAAAUUAUAUUUGUCGAUAUAAGGUUAGUCUUGAUUACUGUGGACAUGGUGUCAUAAUAUAUUAGGGGGAUGUACUAGUCAUCCCAAGGGAUACUUCCUAAGUCAUGUGGCUAUAUGUAAUAGGGCCCUUUCAACAGGGGGAGCGGAACCCAUAUAGCCCGUAGGUGGUUGAGGAAGGAGCUGCACAACAUAUGUAAAGGGCUUAAAGUCAUGCUAAACCCGGUCCUUUUUUGGGCAUGAUUAUAUAUAUAUAUAUAUAUAUAUAUAUAUAUGUGUAUGUAUGGUUAUAUGUAUAUGGAUGGAUUUACAUUGUUUUAUAAAUGGAAUUUUUUUGUCCUUACCUUGAGAUCAUCUUAGCAGUUACUCGCUAACCCUGUCUACUGGUGGUUGUAUACUCACACUAUGAAUGAACCAGUCGUUCUACUCAUCCUACAUUAUAUUUUACUUGGUAACACUAUUUAGACUGAAGUUGUGAGAUUCCAUUUUUUAGAAGGCUCCAUUUCGUGUUAUGGAUAUUUCUACAUAUUAUGGUUUUAUAUUUGAUAUUGGUUUUUCAUAUAGUUGGGGGCAUGGCCCAACUGGAUUUCAUUAAUCUUUUUGUUAUAGGAUUUGGGGUACUUCUAUAGGUUCAAAUAUGCGGGAUUGGUAUAAGUGUUAUCCUUGGCAUUGGAAUAAGCUGAAUGGCUGACAUCAUCGGAAUAUAUUGUUGGUUAGUCCAUCCUAUUUCAUUAUGGGAAUGAUUAUAACUUGUUUUGGAAGAACUUUGGUUAUCGCCUUUUUUAUGUCUUUUUUCAUAUGAUUUUGUAUGGUUGGAUUAUUGGAUUAUUGGUAAAGGAUGAUCGGACUCGGUUUUGUUGGUCACAGUUGUGAUGUAUUCGCCGAGACUUUAUAUGAGCUAUCCCAUUAUUUUAUUAUAUGUUCAGAAUUUAAUCAACUUAGGGAAGACGACUAUAGGUUGAGUUUGUGAUCUAUUCCCUGAGCCUUUAUAUGAGCUAUUACAUUAUUUUAUUAUAUGUUUGGAAUUUAGCCAACUUAGGGCAGACGGCUGGAGGUUGGGUUGGAUAACAAGGGUCGUCUUUGUUCCUGAUCAGACAUGGGAUGCCUACUAUGAUAAUGCCCCAUGCCGGGUUAUAUCAAUUAUCGGCAUUGAAGUACCACGAAUUAUAGUUAUUCAUUUAAUCUCUAAAUCCAUACGUAAAAAGUUUAGUACGAGAGUUGUAUGAGGCUUAAGGGAAGAUAUUUCCAGUCAUGAUAAAGAUAGAAUGAAAUGAAACCAUAGCUUUUGUGAAAGUUUGUGUGGUAAAUGUUUGGUGUGAUGAACUAUUAUAUACCACAUGUCUUGAUAAAAACCCUAAAGUUUACAAACUCAGCACAAGGGUAGUGAAGCAAGAUAUCGAAUUACAGGGUUGGCUAGCCCCUUUAUUGAGUGAUGGUCCACCUCUAUGUCUUAUACUAGAAGGAAAUAUUAAAAAAAGGAUAUCAAUUUAGAGGCUCGGUAUUGGUUGAGUUUUAUAUGCAGUAAUCUCAUGGCAUCGCAUAAUUAAAUAAUUUUUUUACACCUUUGUGAAGUGCUUGUGGGAUAACUAUAGUGAAAGAGAGUUUCAACCUUGCUUCAGUUAUUGCCCAAACCAUUGAUUUUUGAGCCUAAUAAAAUCUAAUAUGUCUUUCCUUCCCUUGAUUGAUUAUUGAGUUGUGUCUCUGUACUAUGCUUCCCUUUAAUAAGAAAAAGGAUUUUGUGUACACUUCUACCUCUACAAUUGAAAUCAUUAGAUUUGAUGUAGUGUAAGAAGUUAAGAAUAAGAAAAUCUUGGUGGAUGAUUACCAAACAAUUGACAUUGAUUCCAUUGAUAGUUAUGCCAGCUAGUCCACUCUUACUACUAUUGUUCCUACACCUCUAGGUUUCUCCAUAGGUCUACCCAACAUAGCUUUCUAGACCUGCUGCUUUUGUACCUUGCCCAUCCACUAAUCUAAGCAUAUCAAGCGCCCUAUAGACUCAUGUUGAAAUUAUCCGAUUGGGAAUGCCAUCUAGAUUCGAGCAGAAGAUCCCUCGGAUGAUUGAUAAUUUAAUGAAAGCUUCCAUGGUGCUAUUUCAUGAAGAUUUAGGGGGGUACUCAUAAGAAAGUAAGAAUAUAUUGAACAAAGAUAGACCAGCUGAGUGCUCCACAGCUUGUGUUCUAGGUAGUAUGUUGCUGCAGAUACAAGCUGAGCCUAUCUCCCUCAAAUAGCAUAUAAAUGACCUCUAGUUCCUAGAUUAAUUAGACUUAUAUGGUAUUUUGGAUUAUACACGAACUCCACCACCUAUUCAUAAUGAUGGUCCAGUCACAUGAGAGAAUGAGGUGUAUAACUAAUAGCAUCCUUUUGAUAAUAAGGAUAUUGCAGAGCCUUGCUUGAUACUUAGUUUUAUAGGCAUAUAUAGGUUAGUACAUUGUUUGAGGUCAGGGUUGAGGAGCAAAUUGAUGUUCAAACUGAUAGGCAAGUUGUUGAGGAUGUUAUAUAUUUAUCCACUUUGGAGAGGUUUACUUGAAAUAACCUAGAUAAGGACCUCCAAUUCAGUUGCUACUACAUAGACCAAGGAAAAAGUAGUAGAUCCACCCCUACAGACCAUACAUGGGACUAAGACAAGAAUUGAUGCCCAGAUAGAGGUUUCUCUAGUAAGCCAAUAAUUACCACAAGGUCAUUUUUAUUUAUUUCUCUAAGUCUUAUUUCCAUAUGUUCUAGCCAAUUUGUUUAAUUUUGGCGUGUUACUUUUAUUUAAUUUGGAUGAUGUUUUGGAUAUAUUUUAUUUGGGUUGAAAUAUUUAUAUUUAUUGUUUGGAUUUUCUUUAAAUUUAGUGUGUUAUUUUUCACUUUCAUUUCCUUACUUUAAAUUUUUAUUUAAGCUUAGUUGCAAAUAAAAUUUUUUGGCAUACAUACUUAAGAGAAAAGUGUACUAAAAAUAGAACAUUUUGACUAAAAUGGUACUGAUGGGGAGAUGUUUUAAAUGAAGAACUCCUAGAAAUGAUUAAUCAUGGUGAAUUUCUCCAUUUUUAAUAAAAAUUCUUUGGUUUAGUUGAACAAUUUAGGCGUUCAUUAUUAAAUUUUUUAUGUGUUAAGAAUGUGGUACAUCAACUGAGGAAGGGUGAUUUAAGUAUACGAUUAAGUUCCAUGUGUGGGUAAGGAUUCAACUUGAUCUUGCCCAUCCAGUCCACCUAGAACUUUUCCUUUUGCUCCAUAAUAAUGCAAGUAGUGUGCAAUGUUUUAAAAGAGAUCUCAGGCUAUUUAUUGAUAGUGAACCCUCAAUUUUACCAAAUUAGCCUUCCCAUGGUGUGUUGACUGUCCAAUUUUUUCAUUAAUUUGUGCUUUGCAGACAUUUUUCUUGGAUAACCUUAUUAUAAUAUGAAAGCCUUCUUCCAUAAGUCUGUCUCUUAAACCAAACACUUCUUGAAACAUCUAGGUAAGGUUGAAUAUAAAAAUAAUCCAAAAUCCUAUGUUGGGUGUAGAGUAUCUUUUUGGGGUUAGUCGUGUGAUCGAUAGUUCAUAAUGUGGGGACAAUUUACUUACUAACCUAAUUAUCGUUGUUUCCUUUUUAAAUACAUAAAAAAUGAGAAAAGCUUUUAAAAGAAAUGAAAAACGAGUUGUAAAUGUGUUUAAAGUUUUUAUAUACUUGAAGUAUAACAAUGUUAAAUGAUAGGAGGAGGAAGAUAGCUUCAAAAUUUGGAGAAUUGUUCCUUGGAGUUGUAAGACGAAAGUUUUGUGAAAAAAAGUGUAAUUAGGUUUCUUUAGAUGCUUAAUAGGGAUAGAGACACUAUAACCUUAACCUUCUCUAACUUACCUGUUAGUGACAAUACAAGUAAAAGUAAAAUCAGAGUGAUCUCCAACGUCGCAUGCUUGUAUGUUGUGAAGUAGAGAUUAUGGGCAAACCUAUGGUGUCGUACUCAUGUUCAUGAUUAUUUUUUAGAGAGCUAGUGAUUCUUUGUUUUAAUGUUUAUAGGUUUGUGAGUGAACAAACUUCUUCGUGUAAGGGAACUUCAUUCAAAUACUUGAUCUCUCUGUUCUUAGUUGGAAUAUAUGAGCAUAUGCGUGGUUCAUAAUAUUAAGUCACCAUGUGAGGCUUGUUGGCCACAAAUUGACUAUUUGAAAGGUGAGACUUGUAUUGUUUAAAAAUUAUAAGGGAAAAGUGUUUUCACAAAAGAAAUAUGGGUCUAAGAUCCAAAAUAUUAGAUUUUAUAUGUAUUGCUGAUUUUUUUUCGUGUGUGCAUUGAUUUAAUUAUAGAUGAGGGAAGAUUUAAGUUAGGGUGUUAUUGAGUCAGAAAUUUGCAACUAAUUUGGCCUAAAAAUGGUAAGAAAUGAAGUACUUAAAUCUUCCCUCAUCUAUGAUUAAAUCAAUGCGCACACAAAAAAGGGAUUGUAACUCAAGUACUUUAAUUGUUGCUUUAGUUCAUUUUCAACGUACGAGCUAAGAAGGGAUUGUAAUAGUAAACAAAAUAAAAAAAAAAGAUAAAAAAGAUGUUAGAUUCAAGUACAAAGUGCAAGGAUCAUCGCCAAAGAAAAUUGUCACAUUGCAAAAAGUGAUUGUUCAACAAAAUAUCAAUUCAUGUAGUUCAGCGAUAAAGAAUAAUAAUUUGGUGUAUCAUCAAGAAGAUCAACAGAGCAGCUCUCCAUCACUAAAAGUUAUAAAAGACAACCCAUGAAGCUUAAAGAUAAUACCUUUUAGCGAAGCAAGUAAAUUUUUUUGUGUCACUGAGUUUAUCAGCGAUGGUGUGGUCAUCUGCCGAAUUGAAUGUAGUGGAAUCUCUAUAAUUUAUCAGCCUACUUUUGUUGAAGAUAUAAAAGCUUUUUUGAUAGCUUGACCCCUACAUUUUGUCAUAUCUUUAAUCAAAAUCUUGUAAUUGAAACCCUAAUUGGAAUCUUAGUUGAUGUUUCUUAUUUAUUUAUUGGAAUUUUAUAUACAUUUUAAAGUAUUUGUUUUUUAUGGUAUAUUGGAAAGAGGAUAUAGUUAUAUCUCCUUUUUAAAUUGUCAUGGACAACAAAUUUCCCAUGCAUAGGGUUAUGCAUUACUAAGUGUUGAUUACUGUAUGGAUAGUGAUUACUUACCAUUUUAUUAGAUUGAAUAUUAUUAUUUUAGCUAAAUAUCUAUGUUUUAAAAAAAGAAUUUAGGUUGCAAACUUUAUUCGUGCUUAGAUAUUUCAUCUUUUUUAAAAGAGUAGAGAAGGGAAGAGAUAUUUAGUUAGCAAAUACUUGAGUAAUUCUCAUUUAAUAGGUAGUUCUAGAAGUAGACUAGCUAAUUUUAGGUCAUAGGUUGCUUUGUAUUAUAUGCCUAUAGGUAUUUGAAAGAAACCUGUAUGAAAUUUGGUGGUACAUUGAAAGAUUACCUCCAAUAGUUAAUAACAAAUACUAUCGAUAGUUAUUUAACGAAUUUAUCUACGUGUUUACUCCCCCACAUAUAUAGUAACUCUCAAGAAGGGUUAAACCGAUGUUCUUUUACCUAUUGAUUACACUCUCUAGAUUUAAAUUAACAACCCAUAGUCGAAGUUCAUAAUUUUAACAUGGAAUUAUUUUUAAUUAACCCCAUUUACUUUAUUUGAAUAUUCUUAGCAUUAUAUGCAAAUAUUUAGUCACUUGUGACACUCAAAGGUGAACCUAUACAUCAAUCCUUGUGGACUAGAAUCAAACUCCAUGUUGUAUAAAAUUACAGUGUUGGCAACUACAUACAUCAUGAGGUGUAUCUUGUGAUUUGAUAAGGAUUUAAUAUCAAUACAUCUUUUUUAUUUGUCAAAGGGAAUAUCAAAAUAACAAGGCUAGGGACUCUUGGAGGAUGUAGAAAAACAAGUGCAUUGAGUACCAAAAAUAAAAUCAAACAAGUCAAAGUUAUUGAAGAUAUGCUUAUCAAUAACCAGGCUUUCCAAUUCAUCAAUAUAAAAGAAUGUAUGUUAGCAUAAAAGAGAUGAAUAAAUGAUUUAUAAUCCAUUUUAGUACUGGAAGAGAAGAGAUCUGUCCAUCAUUAAACUUUAAAAAUGGGUUUGAUAGGACAAUGCAGAUUUUACAAUAUAUCGAGAUCCAUAAUUUUAUCAUUAUCAAUAGAUAUUUUCUUGAGAGAGUGAAAGAGAUUUUCAUCAAAGGGCCUCCUAAUAUCAAUUUUGACAUUUAUGAACCUAUCAAAAUCAAACUUCACCUUUCUUAUAAUUCUUUGACUCAUUAGGAUAAGAGGCUUGCAUAAAAGAGAUUUAGUGAACUGUAAGAAUUUGGAGAAAGAUUUUUGAUAGAGAGAUCAAAAUCAAGAGGAAUGAAAGGAAGAUUUUCCUUUCACUUUGAAAUGAGAGCCUUUGUGGUUACCCACGAAGGAAUUUUUAGGGUUUCUAUCAAUAUAUAAAAGAAAAAAGGAGAAGAAUAGUAACAGGAGAAGUAAUUAAGAGAAGAGAAACAUUAGAAAAAUAUAGAAGAGAUGAAACUGUUAAGAGGCACCUAGAGAAUGGGAAAAGGCAUCAUUUGUAGGUACAAUUACUUAUGUAAGUGGGAAAAGAGAGAUAAACACGAGAAGUGCAUCAAUCAUCAAAUAAUCAAAUUAAUUAAAAAUAAUUAAUAAAGGCAAUUAAACAAUCACAAUUAAACAUUAUUGAAGCAUACUCCAAUAAUUAAGUGUGGGUGAUGGAUAAGGAAGUAAAUAAAUUUUAAAUUUUUUUUUUUGAAAAAUUCCUAGAUAUUCUUGUAGAAAAUAAAAUCUUUCUUCCAAUAAGGAUUUUGUAGAAAUAUCUGCUUAUUGAAAUUCAUUACUAGUAAAAGCUAAUGCAAUAUCUCUUUUUAAAAUAUGAUCCCUAAUAAAAUGAUGCUUAAUGUCAAUGUGAUUAGAUUUGGAAUGAUUUAUAGGAUUUUUAGAUAAACAAAUAGCACUGGAAAUACUAUAGAAGGUUUUCAAAGUCUAAACAAAAAUCUCAUAAUUACUGAGUUUGUAAGUCAACCAAAGAAUUUGUGCACUACAUAAUCCAAUGGAGAUGUAUUCAGACUCAGUGGCUAAUAUAGAAACACAAUUUUUCUCUAUUCUAUUCCAAGAGAUGAUAGAAUUUCAUGAGUUUGCAAGUGCCACUAUUAAUUCUUUUAUCAUCUUCGCCAUUUGCAUCCGAAAAGACUUUUAGCUGAAAAUUAUUUAAUUUGGGAUACCAUAGUCCAAAAUAAACAGUUCCUAUAAGAUAUAUAAUAAUGUACUUGAAUGUAGCCAAAUGAGAAUUAUUGGGAGGUGACUAAAAUCUAGCAUACUUACAUAUACCAAAUUAGAAUAACUAGUCGAUUCGAAGUGAGAUAUUACAAAGAGCCAAUUAUGCCAUGAUAUCUACUUUCAUUAAUAGGCUGACCAUCAUCAUCGGAUAACAUGAUACAAUUAAGUCUCAUUAGAGUUUUGGUGGAUUUAGCAUCUUUUAUUCCAUAUAUAUUAAUGAGUUCCUUAUUAUACUUAUAUGAUAUACUGGGGUUCCUUUAGCUGACUAAUGAAUUUGUGGUACCAAAGAGAAAGCCAACUAACCAUCAUACUCAUAUCAAAUUUUCUUUUAAUUAACCUAGAGAAAUCCUUGUAUAAUUCAGCAUCAGCACUUCCCAAAAUAAUAUGAUCAACAUAAAUUUGAAUAAUUACAUCUCCAAAGAAAUUUCAUUUGAUAAAGAGAGUUAUGUCAAUUUUUCUUCAUAUGAAAUCAAGUUCAGCUAAGAAAUUACUUAGUAUAUCAUACCAAGCUCUAGGAGAUUAUUUUAACACAUAGAGAACUUUUGAAAGUUUAAAGACAUAAUAUAGAAAUUUAUGAUUUACAAAACCUUGGGAUACCAGUACAAAGACUUGUGCAUCAGCUAAACCAUUUCAAAAGCACUGUUAACAUAUAUAUGAAAUAAUUUUAACCUUUUGUGAGUCAUAUAGACAAGUAAAGUUUGAAUAGAUUUUACCCUUUGCACUAGUAAAAUAUUUUUUCAUAUCGACUCAAUUAUAUUCUGAGUAGACUUGAACGACUAGACAAUUUUUUUUUAAAGCCACUUGAAUUGAAUCAUCUAUUUUUUUCUAAAUACCUAUUUAUCCCAUUAAUUGAGUUGUUUUUAGGUUUGGAAACCAAUGUCUAUACAUUACUCUUUUCUAACUGCUCAAGUUUUUCUUUAAUAGAAUUGACCCAAGUUACAUCCCCUAAAUAUUCAUUUACCUUCUUUGGUUCAAGUUGAUAUAUAAGUACAACAUUAGUACUUUUAAAACUAGAAUAUCUUGUUUUCAUUACUUCCUUAGGAUCUCUAAUGAUUAAUUUCUAUGGAAAUUUAGGUUAACUCUUCCAUUAAUUUUGAAUGGUUUAUGUCAUAAAUUGAUAAUUUCUAGAAUCAUUUGACUAAUCAAAUUCAAUGGCAGUUGACUUUGAUGUAGAGUUAACUUCAGUAAAGGUUUCUACAGUUUUUCGAAGUUCAUAUUGUGUAGACUUUACUAGAAUUUUUAUAGUCUUGCACUAUUUAUCCUCACCUUUUAUCUUAUUAGAAUUCUGAACAAUGAAAUUAGGAUUAUAAAAAAUAACAUGCAUAGAUUCUUCUAUACAAGGAAAAUGUUUAUUGAGAACUCUAUCGGAUCUAUUUGAAUUACAAUAACCUAUUAAUAUAUCUUCAACACUCUGAGGGUCAAACUUAUCUAUGUUUUUCUUACCAUUAUUAUGAAUGAAGCACUUUCAUCUGAGGAGUGAAAGUAAUGCAUAAUGGGUUUCUUAUUUUUCUAUAAUUCAAUAGUUGUUUUAUUAAAGAUAGGUCUAAUGAUACAUCUAUUAAAGAUAUGGCAAACAAUACUUACAAAAUUCUAACCAUAAUUUAUGGGCAUGAAGUGUUCACAAAUCAUGGUUUGUUCCAUGUCUUGAAGAGCUAUAUCCGUACAUUCUACAAAUCCAAUUGGUUAAGUAGACCUUAGUGCAGAGAAAUUAUGAGUAUAGCCUUAACUAUUACAAAGAGCCUCAAAUUCCUUAUUUUCAAAUACUCCUCCACAAUCACUUCAAAUGGAAAAAUUAUAGUAUUUUUUCUCUUUGAACCUUUUCAUAGAAAACAUUAAGAUUUUUUAAAGUAUCAUAUUUGUUAGACAAAAAACUAACUCGGGUAAAAUAAGAAUAAUAAUCAACAAAAACAAAGGCAUAGCUUUUACCUCCAAUGCUAGAAAUUAUAGUAAGACCAAAGAGUUUCAUGUGACGUAGCAACAAUGGUUUAGAAAUACAGACAAUGUUAUUAACAAGAAAUGAAUUUCUUGUUUGCUUACCAAGUUAACAUGUAUCACAGAUAUGAACUUUUUUUAGUUGAAUUACUAGCUCAUGUUUGUCUAUUUUUUCAAUAAGUCUCAUACUUGUAUGAUCCAGAUUUUUGUUCCAAACCCAUAGAUAUUUAUAUGUAGACCCCAAGAAGAUGUGAUCUUCUAUCUUUUUUAAACUAUCGAGAACUUAUAAAUUUUUGUGCCUAUUUCAAUGAAGAAGAGGUAUUCUAAGCUUUUCAAUAAUACAUUCAUCAAUAUUAAAUUUUACCUCUAAACCAAUGUCACAAAGAUAAUUUUCUUAAUAGAUUGUACUUCACGAUUUUGACAAGAUAAACAUUAGUGAUAUAAUGUGAUUCAUUAAAAGAAAUUGUACCAAUACAUCUGAAUCUAUUUUUGGAAUUGUCACCGAAGCUAUCGUGUCCCCCAUCAUAAUCAACAAGAUAUUUAACUAAAAAAAAUUUCCAUCAUGUUAUAUCAACACCCACUAUGAAGAUACUAUUUCCUUUAGGAUUUGAGUGGUGUUCCUAUAAAAUAAAGAUAUCACUUAUUUUAUGGUACCCAAGUGUUCGUGGGUCCUUGGAGUAAGUGGUUAGAUUGGUGUACUCAAUUUUGUGUCUCCAAAUUCAUUAGCCAUGAUUCUUGACCUAAAUAAGCAAUUGAAUUAUUUAUGACCAAAUUUACCACUUUGAUAAAUUGAAAUGUGAGAAGCUUUCAUAAGUGGUUGAGAAGUUAUAUUAAUUGUUAUAACUAUGAUUGCUACAUAUUGUUAAUAUGUUAGAGUGAGUUGACUGUUGAGACCCUUCACUAUUAUUAAAUCCAUCGAGCACUGUCAGAUUUUUAUCUACUGACCUGCUAGACUUAGUUAACUAAUCGGAUCUUACAAUACUAUGACUGGAAGAUUUUUAAAAGAUAUUGAUUUUUAUUUUUAUUUCAACAAUUUGUUCUUGUAAAAAACCCUUUCAAUUUCACAAACUUUGAUUUUGAUUUCAGAAUCUCAUCUUUCCAUUAAUAAAACUUUUUUCUCUUGACAAGGUUUAUUUAUAUGAGCUAUGGCACAUUCUAAUAGAUUUUUAUAAUUUAAAAAUUUAUUACAAGAUUCAGUACUUACCUAACUAGAUUGACCAAUACCCAUGACAUAGUCAUCUCUAAUGUUGUCAUUUUACUUUUUAUAGUGGUAUUUAUCACUUCGACUAUUGAAAGAUUUUUGAAUUCCUUUAGAGAGUUAUUUCUAUCUUUAAGACAACCAUAAGCGAGGUGGCCAUAGUUUCCACAGUUGUAGCAUUUUCCAUCAUUCCUAUUGUACUCUGUCAUUUUCUUUCCUUUUCGCUAGUUUGGUUUCCCUUUCUUUCAUUUCUAGAUAUUAUGUUGCUAUAAACUAGUGUCCUAGCAAUAAUAGCAAGUUCAUCUUCAUCUAAGGUGUUGUCUUCUUACUUAUUGAAGUUUUAAAAACUACUAUAUUAUACUUAUUAUGAAGUUGAUCUUUCAUUUUCAGAUAAGCCUUUUCAAAGGCAACAAGAUCCCAUCGUAUCCAUCAUAAGUCAUCUUGUUCAAAUUUAUGUUUUCAAGAGCCACAAGUUUAAAGACCCGUUAGCGCGGUAAGAUUUUCAAAAUCCUGGUGAUCUGAUAUUUUAUACUAUGUCUUUCAUGCAGCUUUGAGUUCACUAGUGAUUUUUCCAAAUCUAGCAAAUAUUUCUUCAAUGGUUUCUCCAUAUUUCAUCUUUAAAAUUUUAUAUUCAUAAAUCAAUACACAUACAAGAAUUUUCUUCAUCUUAAUAUUUCCUUCAUAUGUGACUUAUAUAUUGUCUCACAUUUCCUUGGCUAUUUCAUAGCCAUAAAUCUCGUCAUAUUCUUAACCAUUGAUUGCAUUGUGCUGCACAUUCUUUGCCCUUGAGUUAUUUUAAAGGUUUUUAUUUAUUUAUUUGUGAGAUCCUCAAGAUUUGGAAUCUUCUUUAUUUAUGCUUGACCAUUAUCAAAAUUCUUUCCAUCUCUGUUAGCUGGAACAGGUAAAAUAUCUCCAAUAUUGAACAAUUUCCAUACCUUCACAUCAUAAAGGACUUCAUGCAUUUCUAUCCUUAUCUUUCAAUUGGUUAAAUGUUUCCCAUUAAAGUAGGAAGGUUAGAAUUGAUAUAUGCCUUAUGAGAAUCAUGCUCCAAUAGCAUAUUAGGCCUUAGUUGUUUAUCACUUUGUACUUAGGAAACUAAAUAUAGGUCAAGGCUAUGAUUUCAAUUAAAAUUAGCAAGCGAUCACGUUCAACAUAUUUCAUGAUUUAUGGUCAAGGUGAUCGUUGUCAAAUAUUAUAACCCAACUUGAGUUGGGGUUCAAUCCAUGAUGAGUGUAACCAAUAGUAAAAUCCUAGAGGUGUUAAAGGCUACUUAGUGGUAACGCGUAACAUAGAGAAAAAGUAAAACAUAAAUUAAAAUUGUUGGUACAGUUUGAAAGUUUGUUGUAACAAAAUCUACCUAAACUAGAAAUUAAGAGCUACAAUUGUAGAUAAAAUUUCAUUAGGAAAAGAAUCUUGAGAUUAUGUUUCCUAGGGGCAAAUAAUGUAUGGAUAUAUGAGAAUAAAACAAAAACUCUAGUUAAUGACUUCAUGGGUAGGCUAGGUUAGGGGUUUUGGUAUUGGUUUUUCAACCAAAAACCAAAAUUUCACCCAUAGAUCAUUUAGUAUAUCUCUUGGGUGUAGAAAACAAAACAACCAAAACCUCAAGUGGGAAUCCCUCUUUCUAAGAAGAUGCCCAAGAUAGAGAAAACUCUAAAUCCAUCCUUAUUUCAAAGAUAAUGUAAAGGAAUAAUCUAAGAUAUAACUAUUGUUGACCAAUCCCUUGUCACUUUAUCUCUCUUUCAAGUAUUAUAUAUGAUCUAAAAGAAUGCCCAUAACCAUUUUAAAGGAUGAUGUGAUAUUUUUGAUGUUUGAGGCUUUCACCCACAAAUUAUAAUUCAACAAGCAUGUAUUUGGAAAACCUAACAUCAUUAAUCAAGAACCUACUCUAACAAUCAAGAUCUACACAUAUUUUCACCCUAGUCCAACAAAACCCCAAAAUAGAUAUUUAGAUACUCAUGAGGUUUUAGAAAAGAAAUAUUCAAAAAUUGUCAUUCAGUGAAUCCAUUGAAGUGGAAAUGUAAGAAUAUUCUCAAUUCAAACUCAAUUACAACUAAAAUCCUUUGAAAAAUAGCUAUGAGAAGUUUUCUAUUGCACCCAAACACACACAAAAGUGUAUGUGGUCUCGCCAAGUAGUAAAAAGGCCUUUUAGAAGUCAAGUAUUGAUCCCAUAUGGACAUGUGUUGAAAAAUAUCCUAUUCUAGUUGACUGUUGAGAUUAAAGAGGUGGAAUUUGAAAACUAAAGUACAGUAAACAACGUGAAAAAUAAAUUAAUUGGACAAUCACUGAGUAUUAAACCUGGGGUUAAGGUACUACGAUCAAUCAUACUAUGCUAUUGAACUUUAUUAGUUAAGUUACUUAUAUUUGUUGUUGACUCAUGAUAUUAAUUUUAUGAUCAUAGUAUCCCAACCUCUAACCAUCUUUCUAACUUAGACCCACAACUACAUCGUUGAGAAAGAAUGUGAGAACUAUGCUAAAAGUAUUUAUAUUUAACCCCGUAGUAAACCAAGUAAGGUUUCUACGUAUAUCCCUAGCCUAGAUGCUAAUUUAAUUCCCUUAUUUUGUAAAAGAAUAAAAAACCUACACUAUUUACCCCCACGUUUUAUCCUCUUAUUUCCCUUCCCGGGCUCAAAAGACGAAAAGAGGUGUAUUAUAAGGUUAAUUACUAAUUUAAAAAACAAGGAUAAACAAAAUAUGAUAUCAAAUAAAAACAAACUUAAUUCAAAGAAAAAGAAAUCAUGUUCUUGGACUUAACCCCGAGAAGGGGGAUUUAGCCACUAAUUGCAUAACCAUAAACAAGAUGAAUGAAUACAUGAAAUAAUCCAUAAAUAAGCAAAUGUAGAGGAAUAAAAACCUUAAUUGAAGUGUUUUACGGCCCCUAUCCAAGUCUCAAAGACGUCCAAGGUGUAUAACAACAUAUAGAAGAGUCCUAUUUAUAGGACCCAGAUUUAUGCCGUCGAUGGAACAAAGGUUGCGUUGAGAGGGUCAUUUCACCAUUAUAGGGGUCUUGCCAUUGGAAAAUCGAAAGGGAACACUGUUUUGAACCCCAUAUGAAGAUUCCUAUUCAUGAAAUGUUCUGCAACACCCUUUGUAUGGUCCUACACGCGCUGGUGACAUCAACCGUGUCCGUUUUACGUCAAGCCAUGUCUUGUGUUUUCGUUGAUCGAUUCCCAGCCUUGUGUUUUUCUUUAAACUUGAUUUACAACUUUCAUAUAAUUCAUAUGUAAUAAUAAUCAACUUACCAACCAUUAUAUAACAUCAAACACCAUGGAUUAGAGCUUUACACAACACAAAAUCAAGAACGGUGAACUAGAAACUCAAGCUAAGACUAGUCUUACCCACUUUGAUCUUUAACUUAUUGCUUGGCUCAUGAAUUGAUUCAAUUGAACUUCACACACUAUAAAUUAGUUUUUCCACACAUAAUAACACAAUAAUAAACUUAGGAACUCGUUAAACACAUUAGAAUUAGAUAACUUUCCAAAUUUAGUAGGGAUUUUACCAAAAAAAAUAAUUAAAAGGGUUUUCGCCUUAUAGAAAAUUUGAACUAGCUAUGGGAAAUUACAAAACUUCCACUGGACUAUUUUCCUCUCUAUCGCUAUCACUGGUGCUUGAUAAAUAUUGCGGCUCCCUCGAUCGCAUUAAACUAAUCGAGUUCUCUAUGUUGGCAGCAAUUGCAGCUCUCAGACCACAAUUGCAGUAAUUGAGGUCGAUACCAGAUCUUACUUUUCAAACUUUUGGCACUACUUUUCCUAUUUUGUUCUCUUUUAUGCUCACUUCACUUGUUUUCCUGUAUUUACCUAUGAACCUAC